This 54670-nucleotide long non-coding RNA is filed under the name Ananas comosus (pineapple). Its description in RNAcentral is "long non-coding RNA (ACOM_LNC006275)". The stretch from base 4391 to 4548 matches the Rfam family "U4 spliceosomal RNA". Lineage: Eukaryota; Viridiplantae; Streptophyta; Magnoliopsida; Poales; Bromeliaceae. The record is from RNAcentral.
AAUUAAUUACAGUGAAAAGAGGUUAAAAAAAAAUAAUAAAAUAAUACAAAGAAUAAUACUAGCUAUAUUUAAAUAUAUUUAAUUAUGAUAUUAAUUAUUUUUUUAUUUAGUUUAUAUGUUUAAAAUGUAAUGAAAAUUGAUUAGCUAAGUUUUAGUAUUUCUUUCAUUUAGAUUGUAUAUUUAAAAUAUAAUAAAAAUUAAUUAGUUGAGUAUUAAUAUUUUUUUUACUAGAUGAUUUAUUGUUGUACUAUUAUAAUUUAUGUAUAAAAAAAUUAAUUGAUUAUUUUAGAUUAUAUUUUUUAAUUAUAUACGAAUACAAUUAUAAUUUUUUAUUACAUUAUAAUUAAUUUUAGUAAAUUUAUUUAUUAUUUAUGCAUAUAAAUUAUAAUUUUCACGCCAUUUAUUUCUUGUCAAACAAACAAUAACAUUGGAGAAAAUUCAUUUCGAUAGUUAUGGAAACAAGCAGGGGGGAAAAGUACUUUUUACAAAACUCUAUUUUAUCUUAAAGUCCACCUUAUUCCAAAAUCUACUUUCGGGAAACAGACAGACUUAGGCCCUGUUUGGAUGCAUAGUUAAAAAACUCCAUGGAAUUUUUAUUCUAUGGUUUUGGUCUAAAUGAAAUAUGGAAUCCUGUAACUACAAAAAAAUUCCACAGCUUCAUUUUUAAGCUAUUUGGAUACAUAUCAUACAAUUCCACAGUAUUUAUAACAAUUAAAUUUCUAAAAUUUUAAAAUUCAAAAUUCAAAACUCAAAAUUCAAAAUUCAAAAUUCAAAAUUUAAAAAUAAAAUUUUAAAAAUUAAAAAUAAAAAUUCAAAAUAUAAAAUUAAAAUUUAAAAUUUAAAAUUUAAAAAGUAAAUUAGAUUUUAUGUUUUAAAUUUGAAAUUUGAAAUUUGGAAUUUGAAAUUUCAAAUUUGAAANUUUUUGAAAUUUGAAAUUUAAAAUUUAAAAUUUGAAGUUUUUGAAAUUUGAAAUUUGAAAUUUAAAAUUUGAAAUUUAAAAUCAAAAUUAAAUUUGAAUUUUAAAAUUUUAAAAUUUGAAAUCUAAAAUUUUAUUUUGAAAUUUAAAAUUUAAAAAUUGAUACAUCUUUGGGAGCCCAAAAUGGUGGAAUUUUUUUCCUUUGGUUAAAGUGGAUUGUAAGUUUACUUCAUUUUUUGGAGUAUAGUAUAACUAUACUCCAAAAAUUACGUCAUUUUUUUUUCUUCCAAACGCUUCAUAGGAUUAUUUUCCUACCAGCGUAGCAUAGUCUAUGCUACGUUUUUAGAGGUAUCCAAACGGGGCCUUAGUGGCCAAUGUUUGGCCUUUGAAUAGCCUGAGGAGUCGAUAGUUCUUAUUUUGUUUGGUUUGGUAACUCAAACUCAUAAUUUCUUACUUUGAUAUCAUGUUAAGUUACAUCAAUUAUCAAAUAGCCAUCUUUCUUCAAUAAUUUAAGCUAUUAGAGAACAUUAUUUUUAUAAUUUGUAUUCAAUAACAAUCACAAUAUUUAUAAAAAAAUAAAUAUAGAUGAUUAGUAGGAUCAAUGAGCAAGCAACUAAAUAUAUCCUAAUACCAAAGCAACCAAAAUUACGAUCAUGUGAUCAAUAUUCUUGGAUUUUAACCCAUAUAUGCAACACCCUAAAAGCUAGCUAUAUAUUUUCCGCCUUUUAAAGUUUUUUUUUUUUUUUGUUUCCACCGCGGUCUAUUAGCUCACUCUUGAAGCUUAAUUCAUCUAUCUAAUAAAUAAAGAAGAUAGCGUGCUGUUUUUUUCCUAAAAAAAACUCAUGGUGAGAUACCCACUUAAACUGGUAUAUGAGAGGCUCGAGGCCCAGCUAACAAAACAGUCAAUGACUAAUUUUGAUUAUGUAGGUAAUUCAUGAUUCAAAAACCUUGACGAAUAAUUUGACUUUCUUUGGCCACGUUUCUCUGCUCUCUUAGCCAGAAUUGCAUAGAGAAGGACUUGGAAAUUUUUCGACCAAACCUAAACAUGUGGCAUGUUCAAGUCAAUACAAGACCAUGCGAAUAUGUGAUGUAUAGAUUGCUCCAAACUGUGAUAGUUCAUCAUCGUUGAGAUCUAAUCAAAUUCCCCAUGCAAGUGAGUGAGUCAACAUGCGACCCUUCAGGAUCACAAACUUAAGAGAACGCUCAAUAACUAGUUAUUUCAAGUCACCUUUAAUCUUCAACAAUAUUUGUAAUGUAUAUCAACCAAAUACUUUUAUUAAGAGUAAAAGAAUGGGAUCAAGAUCGACCAAGGCAAGGCUAUUUUUUAAUCUCCAAAAUGAAUGCUCACUAAGCAUGGAAUAGUCGUAAGUAAUGAUUCUACUAACUAAUAUGAAAUAUUGAAACACAGGAAUCUCUUCAAUUGUGCGUCUCCAUGCUUGCUGAUUGUUACGUUUAUCUGCCUCUGUACUAUACAAUGCGAAUAAGUUGCAUCGCAGCAUCGGUUCUCUCUGUGUAAAUGAUUACUAGUUUUCAUAUAAUUGGUUGUUAUUAUCACAAUUGAUGUUCACAAAGAAACUGAUAUUAGUUAUUUGGUAUAAUACAAAACUCAUUCCAUGAGAAGGGAAUCCUGCUAUAUGGUUGACUUCUUGUAAAUUUUAAAAGGGUUAGGCUGCCCGAAACCUAACCGUUGUCAUUAUGCUUAGUAGUUAUCUGAGGAGACGUUUUAAAUUGCAUGUCUCACAUUGUCACUGCGUUUAAACAAAUCACUAACACAUGAUGCACUAGUCUCCUCUAAAUGCCAUAUGAACACAUACAUUGUGCCUAUGUAGAGUCCCUUUACUUAUCUCCUCUUUGGUCCCUAGUAUAAUCUACUCCCAAAAGAAGAAGAGGGAGAAGAACCAUGAAGUAUUUUUGUGUAAUCUUAGUAGCACUGAUAAGUUGCUUCUUCUGUGACCAUGUUAGUGCUGGUGCAAGAGCUAGAUGCAUGGAUCCUUACUUUGGAAAUUGCUAUGGAAUCCCUCUAAAAUGCCCGCCUGGUUGCCCUAAACUUUGCGAGGUUGAUUGCAAAGCAUGCAAACCUUACUGUGGUAAGUUUUUCUCUUACCGAAGUUUCACUCGUAAAUCUGCUUUAUUUACAAUAGUAAUAAUCAAUAUGUGAAUAUGUGCUCGAAUUCAUUGAUUGAGUCCAAAUUGAUGUAAGUCCAUCAUAAAUUCCCUCACAGAUUGUGACAAGCCAGGGGCUGUGUGCCAAGACCCGCGCUUCAUCGGAGGCGACGGCAUCAUGUUCUACUUCCAUGGAAGGAAAGAAAAGGACUUUUGCCUUGUAACAAACCCAGAUAUACACAUCAAUGCGCAUUUCAUCGGAAAGAAGGGCAACAAAGGAAGGGACUUCACUUGGGUCCAGUCGAUCGGGGCCUCGUUCGGGUCGCACCAGUUGUACGUCGGCGCGAGAAACGUGGCAAACUGGACACAAUCCGAGGACUACAUGCACAUACAAUUCGAUGGAGUCGACGUCAACAUUCCACUAGGAAAUGGCGAGAUGUGGUUUUUUCCGGAUUCCGGUUUGACGAUCAAACGUGUAGGGCAGACGAAUUCAAUAGUGGCUGAAGUGGUCGGCGUGGUCAAGAUCAGAGUGAGAGUGGUGCCAAUAACUAAAGAAGAAUCAAGAGUUCAUGGAUACGACAUAAAGGAGGAGGAUUGUUUUGCUCACUUAGAGCUAAGUUUCAAGUUUAGCUCAUUGAGUAACUUGGUAGAUGGGGUGUUGGGACAGACCUAUGUGCCGGGUUAUCGUAGCAGGGUGAAAAUGGGCGCCACCAUGCCGAUCAUGGGGGGUGCGGAGAAGUUCGCGUCAUCGCAUUUGUUUGCUACAGAUUGUGCGGUAUCGAAGUUUGGGUUUAGAAGGGAGGGCGCAGAGCUUGAAGAUCCACGGACGGUUACUUGUGGAGCUACAGAGGGAGGAGUGGGGAUUGUCUGCAGAAGAUGAGAGACAGAGAGGGUCAAUAAAGUGUAAUUUGCUUGUGUGAGUUAUAUCUGCAUGUAUGUGGUAAAUGGUGAGCAAUAUUAUGUUGCAGUCAUGUUAUUAUUUGGCAAUUUCCACUUGAGGAAGAUCCAUUUCAUCAUUGUUUUCAUGUACUGAUGCAUCAAGUACUUGAAAUUGUUCUAGGGAUCCCCUAAAACCCUGCAACAUGAAAAAUAAAAGAGAGAGAAGCAUCUAAGAACUUCACUUUUUUUAAAAAAAAAUUAAAAAAAUCCCGACAAUUCUAUGUGCAAUGAGAAUUCUUUUUCCUCCGGAAGUUAAAAGAGUUUUUGAUGCCUUUGCGGAAUAUCCUCGAACAGUUGAUCGAUCUACAUACAUGUGCGGUGGGAUAUAGGAUUAUAUGCAUAAUAUAGGCUAAUAGUCCCACAUCGACCAGUUAAAUACGUCGUGGCCCAUAAGCUUUCUUUAAAAGGAGAGGCCCAGCGACGGAGAAAAGCAUCUUUGCGCUUGGGGCAAUGACGCAGCUAGUGAGGUAAAAACCGAGGCGCGUCAAUUGCUGGUUGAAAACUAUUUCCAAACCCCCUCUUUGGCCUGGGCUCGCCCCGGUUGCCACUGAGAAUUUCUGGAAGGGCCCCCUCUAAUCCAGGGUAAGGCCCUACAAUUCUUAAUUAGCUAUAAAUGUUUUUUUGAGUUAGUGUUUCUAAUUCCGUUUAAUGUCGAAAAUAAUACUUGAAUUGUUAGAUCAUUCCUGUAAUUUAUCAAAAACCGGGUUGGGGCCUGAUUUUGGCGUCUGAAAUGAUGUAGCAGAAUUUGGACCAAUAAUUUUAGUUGAAUCACAAACGUCCACCCUGUACUAUGGCUACAUUUUGGGCCCAAUAAUUUUAGUUGAAUCACAAACUCCACCAUGUAAUAUGGCUACAUUUUGGGCCCAGUAGAACUUGGGCCAUUUACACUUCGGGCCUAUCACAAAUUUGCUUCAUCUUCAACACUUCCAAGAUUGUCAUAUAUGGCAGGAUCUUUUUAAAAAAGAUGCAGUAUAAUAUAUAUAUUAGUAAACAGCAAAAAUUUCUUUACAACCUUGAAAGAACCUCACAGUUCAAUAUCUAACUUACCUAAGACUUUCAACUAUAUUAUAACAAUUAUCUAAUUAAAAAAUAUAUACAUAAUCCUUCUCCGCAAGGUUGGGCACAUUAAUUCUCCAGCGAGAUGAUUUGCGAUAUAAAAUUACUCGAAUUUUGUGAAGUGGAAAGCAUCCUCCUCGAAAAGAGAGCUUCCGUUUUGAUUCGAUGGUCCUUGUCCAGAGUGUUUUGGGCUUAGGAAGGAUUGCUACUCUCAGCAGCAAAGCCAGAUGCUUCUGCUAGAGCUGAUAGGUCCUGUUCACCGCUAAAAACCUGCAAAAAAAAAAUUACCAAAGAAUAGAAAUUUUGAUGUUACUAUUUAGUACAACAUAGAGUACAACAUAGUUAUUUUGACCUCAUAAAGAUAAUAUAUGCUUGCCGGAUCUAUACCUGAACACUCCGCCAGUAUGAACGCAAACAAUAACAAUUUCGCACGAGAAGAAGUUGAGGCAAUGAAGCAUUCUAUAGUAUACGAAUACCAGAAUAUAAACAACAUCCAAGAAGAAGCGAGCACUGUCAAUCAAUUUCAAUCCAGUAAUAGAUUGGGCAGAACAAAACAUAUAUACAUCGCCUGAUUAUUUUGGAUUGAUUUCAUUUUAAUCUUUAAAUAACUUUAUCCUCGAUAUGCAAAACAUACCAUGAAAAAUUAGUCAUCUUACUCUUUCACCUCAAUUAUUUUCAUACCUCCACGAGAGUUCUCUAACCAAAGCUCCUCUAUUAUAUGAGCAAAUUAUAAAUAAUAAGAACUGUAUUUUGUUUUAUAUCUAUUAAUUUGCAGAGAUAUGAGACCUAUAGCUGAUAUCUACAGGUGAAAGCACAUCAUAAUCAGUUAGGACAAUAUUAUUAGACAUCAAGGAGAAUUAAUCGGAACACUGACGAACAAAAAUAAUUCUUCCUGCAAAUAUUGGAAACUAACCUUAUCUUUGAUGAUCCAUGUUGGGAAGCCUUCAAUCCCAACAGCUGCACAUUCCAAGGCCAUUUUUCUUCCUUUACCAACUCCAUCAGGGAAACACUCAACAUAAUCCAACAUCUUCACAGCUUCACGCCCAAACAUCUGUAUCAACAGAUAAAGAUGAUAAAUAUUGGUUCAUGCUAGUGCUGCAUAUUAUCAGUACUUUUGCAGGGUUAAUUUGAUACUAAUCUAUUCAAUCAAAGUUUUAAAGAUAAAAUAAAGACCAAAGAAACAAAGUGAUAGAUAUUAAGGCAUUUUAUUUUGUUCUGUAUAUACUGCAACAACAACAGAUAUAAGGAAUUCACCUCCUUCUGUUCAUUACAGUGAGAACACCAGAAUGCUCCAUACAUCUUAGCGCCUAUGGUCUUCAGGUGCUUUGCAAGGGAGAUAGCGAAAGGAGUUGAUUCUUUGGUUAUAACAGUCUCGUAUGGCUCCAAGGUAAUUUCCCCUGAGCUGUAUGAAUCAGAUUGGGCAAAAUGUUAAGCAUGUUUUUCUUGUAAGACAAACAUAAACAAACAUGUGAGUAUAGAAAUCUACUGCAUAUGAGUUAAUUAGGCAAGCAAACCAGCUAUGAACGACGAAUGCCUUUACAUAGACUCUAAAACUAUGAAUUUUAAGGUAUACAAAAUAGUACGAUGAAGUUGAUAUUGACAAGGCUAUGUGGAAUUUCCAGGACGAUUAGAAACCUCCAGGUUUUCUUUUAGGGCCUGCUAACCCUGGAGGUUUUGCAGAAGUGUUACUUGAGAAGAGCUAUUGGAAAAAGCAAUAUUAUUAUUAUUAUUAUUAUUAUUAUUAUUAUUAUCUCUCAAUGACUAAUGACUACCCAAUGUCGCUAAAAAUAGAAGCUUCAAAUUGGAGAGUCCGCUUUUAGGGUCUAGAAGCUCAUUUUGGCAAAUCACAACAGCCAAAAAAUUCCAAACUUAUUGUUUGAUGAACACCUAGCUUCUUGUUUGAUCCUAGCGAAGUGUUAAAAAAAAAAAAUAGAAUGGAGGUUGAAUAACUUCCAACUAAAUCAAUCAAUUGAAGUUUGUGUCAACUGAAGCAAAUUACGCAGUGAAAGUUGCUUUAUAUAUGAGAUAAAGAUCUUAUGCCGGCUAAGAAAAGUUUUUUAACAGCAUAAAGCCUGAAACAUAAUUUAAUUGGUCAUGAUGGAAGUUUCUUAACAGCAUAAGAAUUAAUUUGUGUGAAACACAUGAAGAAAAUUUUCAUUUAGGAAUAACAUUUAAAGGGUACUACAGCAUCAAACUAAACAGUUCAAAAAACUGAAAGAGCAGCAAACUUUAUGUGACUUUAGUAUUAAGAACACGAAAGUCUUACCCUGACAACUGAGGAGUAGCUGAUGAAUAUGAGCUUGUUAGAGCAACAAGAAUAACACCGGCAAUUGCUAACUGUAGACCAACCAUUUUUCUUAUUUCUUCCAAACCAAUAUCCUACAACAUAUAAAAGUUGGAUUCAGAUACCUUCUGGUGGUUCUGAAGAGGGAUCCUUUGCUUUAAGAGACUACAUACCUUGACGGUGAGAAGAAAUAAACUAAAAGAGAGAAAAGCCGAUAUGAGACAGUAUGAACAAGAUGUUCCAGCAAACUCCGUGGUCAGAAGGUAAACGAAAUAAGCACUUGCAGUUGCCAUCGAAGUUGUCGUCCCAAGCAAAAUCAAGCGAUUAUUAGUUUCAUCAAUUCCAGGAAGCAAAUUCUUCCGACUCUGUUGUAGAGAAAGUAAUGCAACUAAACCGUACGCAACCAUCCCAAUCAAUGGAAGCGGAACACCUGUAUAGUGGAAAAUGAUAUAUCACGAACCUCGAAAGCAAAUUAAGCAUUAGAUUAGAUCGAAAGAGUGAACAGAAACAAUUCUGUAUCAUCACAGUUGAUCAGCUGCUUCUUUCUAACCAACUUGAUUUGUAGUUUACUCAUAAAAAAAUGAGCAUUUGACUAACAAGGAAUGAAGCCUUAAAAUAAAUGUAACGGUUCCGCGCCUAGUUUUUUUCUUUCAGCUCCAUGCUUCGAGAGUAUAUCACUCGGUGAGUUCAUAAUUUAUACUAAUAACAAAGCAAGCGCAGCGGCAUAACAAACCUCAAAGACAUAAUAUUAUCUAUAACCUAGAGUAAAUUCGGAUUCUUCUGCUCACUAAUUUCAAGGUAUUUUCUCGGUUUAAUCAGCUCAAUGAGCAUCGAACUCGAUUAACCUCAGUGAUACUUUUCACAGUUCCAAAAUCAUGUAGCAUCAGAACUAAGCUUCGCCCACAUCCACCACAAUCAAUAUAAAAUUAGGGCAAUAGGUGGCGGUACCGAAGACGGCGGAGUAGACGCUGUUGAGGACAUCGCCGCAACUGCCGCCGCCGCCGCCGUCGCCGACGGGGCAAAACGCCUCAGAAUUGGAGAGCUUCAGGUAAGUAAGAUAACCGGUCUCGAGGAAGCCCAAGGAUGCGAGACCCGCCGACCAAGUGGAUGUGGAAAUGCCCCUGAGAGGAGAGCCCUUCUUGUGCUCCUCCACAUCCACCUCGGGAGAAGGCCCCGCGCGGCACUUGAAGUGCACUCGCGCCCCCUCCUGUACAGCAACCACCACCGCAGCACGUAAAUUAGAUAACAACAGUAAUAAUAGUGAGAAAAAUUAGGAAAAAUGCAAUCGAACGCGAUUGAAUCGGAGCGCGAAACCAUAAAGCGCGGUGGGGGGAAGCGGGGGAUGGAGAGGGUGGAGGAGAUGCUCGCCAUCGCCAUUAGCAGCUGCUGCUUCGCUCCUUUGCUCUUCUUCCCCUUCGCCUCUCUCUCUCUCUCUCUCUCUCUCUCUCUUCCGGGGUCUCUGUUUUAACGGUCCAUGGAUUCCCAUCUGAGCCGCGACUCGGACGACACGAAUCGGGGUGGGUUCGGGUUUGGUUCGGAUCCGGCGCCGCCACACCUAGCCCAACUGCCCAAGGGAGCGAAUCGUUCUCGAGUCUAAAUAAGGCCCAUUAGGCCUAUUUAUUUUUAAAUACGUUGGGCCUGAUGGCCCCUUUUUGUUCAUAGGCUCUCUUGGUAACAGGUUGGCCCAAUUAACUUUGUGUCUACAAUCUGGACUCUGGAGGAAGGUAGUCCCUAACUCUUCUUUUCUUUUCUUUUUUUUUCUUUUAAAAACCUUUAAUUUCUUUAUUGACAUCUGCUCACCUUCUAAUUAUUCCGAUUUGAAUAAAUCAAGUCAUCUAAAUUAGAGAUUUGCUAGCAAUUUUGCUAAUAGUUAAUGGCACCUGCAAAUCCAUUUUGCUAGCACAAAAGCCAUUUUAAUUUAAUAGAAUCAUUGAUAAAGUUAACAAGAUCCACAAUAAUAUAACGAAUAAAAAAAUCUUAAAACCGACUGUCCCUAGAUCAAGUGGCAAAGGGUUUUGUGGUUGGUACCCGAAACCCAAGUUCGAAUUCUAGUUGAUUCACAUUUCUAGCUAAGUUUAUUUCUAAAUGAAAUAAACGAAGCGGGUAGCGUGCUAUCUAUUUCUCAAAAAAAAUAAAAAAAUCUUAAAUCAAAGAGAUUAGAGGCUGGAAACAUGUCAAAAUAAAGUUAAAGGGUUCAAUUUUACCUAAAUAUUUGCUUUUUAUUAGAAAUUUGGAAUUUACAAGAAAGAUGCUACAUAAACCCACAAUUUCAUUCGCCCGCUGGUAAACUGCAGUUUACUCAAAUUUCAUUCGCCAGCUGGUAAACUGCAGUUUUGAGUAAACUGCUACAUGCUACUGCAAUUGUUAAUUAGUAGACCCAAAUCAUGUAAUCACAUAUAAUAAAACUAUCAAAUGGACAUGUGAAAUAGCAUACUAAUACUAACUUCCUCGGUUCUACUCUAUUAAAACCCAAAUUAAUGUACGAGUUUAAGGUACUAGCUAGCGAGCCUAAUGAUAUAUUUAAUAAAUAUCUUUUUUUUCAUUUAUUCUUUUAUCGUGUGCUUAACUUUAAACUUUGAAACAUAAAAAAUAUGCAUACUACUCAGUUAUCAUCUCAGAGAAAACUAUAGUUUUGAGCAAGCCCUCCUCUUUCUCUGUUUUCUUUUUUUUCGUUUUUUUUUUUUUUGGUUGGUAAUUUGAGAAAACCCUUUUUUUAGUGCAGAUUAUUUUAUCGCACUCUAAAUUAUCUAAGAAAAACUCUAAUUCACAGCACGUCAGGUGAUCCAACCCAAUAAUCGCAUCGCUACGCAAGUUGAUUGCACGUAUAGCUAAGGGAGAAAGCAUUGUCUGAACCUGGAAUACCACGUCAGCAGUAGACCGCUAAACCAAUGCAACUAUUCAUUUCAUUCGCUUCUUCAAUUCUAAUUGUUUUAAAAGAGAAUAACCCGUAAUUUCAAAUAAGAAAAAGUUAUUUGAUGGUGGUUUCUUUAGAUUGCUUGGGUAGUUUACGGCUCACAAAUUGAACCAGGUUCAGGGAAUAAAUUUUCAGGCGAGUUGUUAGGCAAUAUUUUGGUAGAAAUUGUAUUGAUUAAGAUAAUUAUUCAAGCAUAGCCAUCAUCUUUAUGCAUAAAUAAUUUUAAAAUAUCUUAAAAUAAAAAAAUAAAAUUAAAAGUCUCAUAACAUGCUAGCAUGAUCUUAGAUCUGGGACUGGAAGAGUCUAACCACCUGCGCGCACCUCGUGAAUCUAAUCAUAUUUUGACCCAUUGUAGUUCGAAUUUGUGACUAUAGUAGUUGAAAUGGGUGCACCACAUCACGCAAUGCACCGCCUACUGGAUUUGCCAUAUCACAGGCCGGCUAAAGUAAAUAUUAAAUAAUAAAUAUAUUAAAGACGGUGGGCUGAAUCAGUUAUCCCCGCUUUAAUUCGUUCCUGUCAUAUUCUCGUUUUCCCAAUUUAAAAAUAUAUCCUCUACAAAAGAUUCCUCAUAAAAAGAAAGGAAUCGCUAACAAAUGGAUGAAAAGUGUAGUAUUCUCCAUUACGUGCAUGCAUGCCAUCAUUCUUAUAAUAAUAAUUAAUAUAUCAAAAAGGCAUUUAAAAUUGUAUAUAUCUCACAUUGACUUUUUGUUAGAAAAAUCACUACCCAAGAUGCGCAUAAGCUCUUCGAUCUCAAAGCUAUAAAUACGAACCCCGACAUGCACCACUUGCUAUAUCCACCCAGCAAUAUUCAUCUCUUCUAGCUUAUUUUCACUCAGAAACCUUUCCUUUGUAGCAUUCGUUCCCAUAGAAGCUACGUAACCAUGAAAUAUUUCCUGGUUCUUUUGGUUGCGCUAACAAGCUGCUUCUUCUAUGGACGUGUUAAUGCCGGAACAGCUGCGUGCGCGAACACCUACUCGAAUUGCUAUGGAAUUUCAUUCAAUUGCCCGCAGGGUUGUCCUAAUCAAUGCGAGGUGGACUGCAACACAUGCAAGCCUUAUUGUCGUAAGUCUCUCUUUUCCCUCCCCCUAAUUAAUCUACUUUGUUUUCUAAAUAAGAAAAUAAAUUCAUUAUGUAUAUGUGAAUGCAUACUAUUCUAUGUUUAUGGAGUACUCCAUCCAUGCUUGGGCACACAAUUUAAUGCAGGUUCAUCACAAACUUCUCUUCUUCAGUAUCAUAAUUUAUUAGGUUAAUUAAGAACCUAUAUAUAUAUAUAUAUAGAAAGAGAGAGAGUUGAGCUAAAAUACUCUCAAAAGCAUCAUGAAUGUGGUACUUUUGAGUUUUUAACUAUUGAAUGGAUAGAUGUGAGGUUGAGAUGAUGGUGGUAGGUGGAAUAGUAUUUGAUCCAAAAGCUAUAAAUAAUCAAGGAGUAGAUUCAAGGACUAUAAACUUAGAAGCACCAAGGGUUUAGUGCUUCUAAAAGUAUUCUAACUCAAUUUUAUAUAUAUAUAUAUAGUUCUUAGAUUAACAGUGGUGCAUUAUUGUCCAAUGUGUGUCUGAACACUAAAAUUUUAACUUACUAUCUAAUAAUGCAGUUAUUUUGAUUAAGCACUUAUAAGCCUGUACUAAUCGGUAUUUUUAAGUUUUUUAUGAAAUAUUUAAUGGUAAUUGUUAAAUUCCUACUCAAUUGGUGGACUAUAAUUAGCUAGAAAGAGAAAUGAUAGUAGCUGGAACUCGAAAGAGUAGAUAGAUUAGAUAGCAGAAUUAAAUUCAUAAUGAUAAUUAUUAAGAUACUUAUUGUAAAUUGCACUAUGUAUAUAUAUGUCUGGUAGGAUCCGAGCUUCUUCUUUUUUGUUUUUUGUUUUUCCUUCUUAUUUAUCGAGUUACAUGCAUGUAAAAUCUUGGUUGUGCACAUACGUUCAUCGAUCAGCUUGCGAUAAGCCGGGAGCGGUGUGCCACGACCCGCGCUUCAUCGGUGGAGACGGCAUCAAGUUCUACUUCCACGGAAAGAAAAACAAGGACUUCUGCCUCGUCACCGAUUCCGACAUCCACGUCAACGCGCAUUUCAUUGGAAAGCAAGGCAAGGGGAGGGACUUCACCUGGGUCCAGUCCAUCGGCAUCUUGUUCGGCUCGCAGCAGUUCUACGUCGGUGCGAGAAAGGUCGCGACCUGGCACGGAUCCGACGACAACAUGCACGUGCAAUUCAAUGGAGCAGACAUCAACAUCCCGUCGGGCGACGGCGAGAUGUGGACGUCGCCGGAGGGCGACUUGCAGAUCAAACGUGUUGGGGAGACGAACUCGAUUGUGGCCGAAGUGGUGGGCGUGGUGAAGAUCGGAGUGAGAGUGGUGCCCAUCACCGAAGAAGAAUCGAGAAUUCAUGGGUACGGCAUUACGGAGGACGACUGCUUUGCUCAUCUGGAGCUCAGCUUCAAGUUCAGUUCACUGAGCAACUCGGUGAGCGGGGUUUUGGGGCAGACCUACGUGCCGGGUUAUCGCAGUCCAGUUAAGAUCGGCGUCCCGAUGCCGGUCAUGGGUGGCGCGGAGAAGUACUCGACCUCGCAUCUGUUUGCGACGGACUGCGCCGUCUCAAAGUUCGGGCUCAAGAGGGAGGGUGCUGAGAUUGAGGAUCCGCCGACGGUUGCUUGCGGAGCUCAAGAUGGAAUUCAGGGGAUUGUUUGCAAGAGGUGAAAGAGACAGAGAGAUACAGAGAGGAAGAUGACCGGGAAGAGUGAUUUUGCUUUGCAUUAAUAUUUCAUGUGCGUGUGUGUGUGGUAUUUAGUGAUAAAUAAUCUCUGGUUCCUUUGUUGCUGCUCUCCAGCUUUGUUGCUUGGGGGUUUUCGUUUAUUCUGUAUCUGCUAUCAUUUUGUUUUCCUCAUGUAUUCCUCUAUAAUAUUUCUCUUAAUAUAAUUAAUGAAUAGAUCUAUUGCCUAUUCUUUUCAAAAUAAAAGAACUUCUGUCGCAGUAACUUUUUUUGUGAAAGAUGUUCCGGUCAUAUUAUAGUUCUGCAAUUUGGGCAUAGGAAAAUUCCUUGAUUAUUCUGUGAUGUUGUUGUCUUUUUUCAUGUUGCAUUAAGUUAUUGGAUAAAAAAUAGGUUAAAUUAUAUAAAAAAAACUUCUAUUAAAAUCUGAUUUUUCACUUUGGAUCCCGCCGUCCGUGUUCUGUUAGGAUUCCGUCUAUUUCUCAUUAUUAUAUUUUUUUUUAUGCCGAAAAUAUCCUUCUAUAAAUAAAGAAGGGUUGGGGGAGGAGAGGAAAAAUGAGAGGGCAUUUUGGUUAUUUUAUCAAUACUAUUAACAUCGUACCUCCUGUGAAUAUUUUUCAUUUUUAGAGGGGCAAAGUGUAGGUUUUUAAAUGACAGAAAGAGAAAGUGAAAAAUCGGCAACCGAUAAUCAGUUCAGCUUACGUAGUCAAAUAGAAAGAUGACACAUGGUAUAUUAAGAGCCGAAAAAAAGGAGUUCAAAAGUAAAUGAAUUACACAUGGUAUAUUAAGAGCCGAAAAAAAGGAGUUCAAAAGAUGACACGGUAUAUUAAGAGUGGUCCAUCGUCAUUAACCGUGUCAACUCGAGAAUAGAAGGCUGGAAAGCAAAGCUUCUCUCUCAAAGGGGUAGACUCACCCUUGUCAACUCUGUCCUCGCUAGUCUGCCUCUACUCUACCUUUCUAUUUUUAAAGCACCUCAGUGGGUACUGCAACGAAUUGAAGCUCUGCGGAGGGCCUUCUUCUGGAAAGGCGGCACCAAAAUCACUGGGGGUGGUUGCCUUGUUAACUGGAAAUCUAUCUGUAAGAGCAAGAAAGAAGGAGGGUUAGGAGUCAAGGAAUUGGGCGCGAUGAAUACGGCACUACUAUCCAAAUGGUGGUGGCGCUUCUUCACCGAGAGAAGCCUGCUCUGGAAUAAGUUAAUCAGAACUCUUUAUUACAUCAAACGUAGGCCUUUACACGAGGGUUGAACUUUUGCACCCUAUUCGCAAUGGUGGAGAGGUGUGCUGCACUGUCGCGAUAUUUUCAAAUGCAGUGUAAGCUACGAGUUCGGUGAUGGCAACAACAUCAGGAUAUGGUUAGACAUUUGGAUAGGGGAAAUCCCCUUACGCACCUUAUUCCCAAAUAUCUUUGACCACGCAAGAAAUAAAGAUGCCAGAGUAGCUCAAUGUUGGAAUAUGAACGGUUGGAGGUGGCGUUUUUUUUGUCGUGGCGAUCGGGGGCUCUCUUUAGCAGAACGUCGCAGACAGCUGACGCUUUUGAAGAAUCUGCUCGUGCUCUUUAGUCCAAGUUCCAUACCGGACACGAUCAAAUAGCGUUGGACGGCAAACCAACAAUUCUCCGUCAAAUCCCUUUACCAAUUCCUCACUGACAGCGGAUUAAGAGAUUUAAUGAAUUUAUUUAUCUGGAAAAUCAAAAUUCCAGUCAAGAUUAAAGUGUUCUUAUGGCUACUCCUGUAAAAGAGAAUCUUGAUUGUAGAUCGUUUACAUAAACGCGGAUGGCUAGCGGAACAAUUUUGCAUUCUCUGUGCCGCUAGUACGGAAAGCUCAUCACCUAAUAAGCUCCUGCGUGUUUGUUCGCUUCCUCCUCAUUCAAGUUGAAGUACCGGAUUUUUUGAUAGAGCCAGCGACGGAGGCGAGAGAACUUUGGACAAGAUCAGUCAGCCUAGUAGAUGCCCAGAAGAGACUUGAAUCUCUAACUCUAAUGUCUGCUAUUUGGUGGUUGUUUGGACUCAGAGGAAUGACAGUCUUUUUGGCGCAAAGCCCCCCAACACUACCCGAGCACUAGAACGUGUUAGACACCUGCUGACAUCCUGGACCACGUGACUCUGAGCGUUUGGUGUCCUCCUUUUUUUUCGGGUUGACUUUCUUGUUUUUUCCUCUUCUGUUUUUUCAUUUUUUGCUGACUUAGCUUCCUUUUUCUCUCUUUUUUUUCCUCCAGAGACCUCGGCUGCCUCCAUUAUGUAAGCCUAAUUCAUUUUCCUAAUAAAUGAAACAGGUAGCUUGCUAUCUAUUUCUAAAAAAAAAAAAAAUAAAUGGAUUUUGAACAGCACUUUCCGUAAAGUGACAACUGUCCAACAACUGCAGGUUAACUGAAAUUUGAUAGUAAGUUUAUAAAUAGCGACGUCGCAAAGAUAUUUUCCUAUACCGAAGACCAUUAUUAUUAUUAUUAUUUUUUCAUUCUCAACAUUUAUAAUUUUUUCUAGGAGUAGCCAGUGUUAGAAUGUAGUCUUUAGUUUUAGCCAAAAAAUCAAGGUCAUAGAAAUUUUGUAGCAUUUUCGAAAGGAUUAUACGAGAGUUUUGCUUCAAUAUGCGGAAACUAGGUGAAAUUUAAGCAGUCAAAAAACUACAAUCCUGAAACUGAGCUGCUACGGAGAUUUUGCAUGGAAACGCUGCCUCUCUACACGAAGAUUCAAUUUUGCUUCAGUUUUACCCCAAGAGCACAUAUCCUUCAUCAGAAUUGAGAGCUUAAUUUCUUCACUAUCCUCAAAUCUCUUGGCCGUGUUUCGAUCCAAAAUAUCUAUAACAGCUAAUUUUCAAGAUUGGAUUGCCUUUUCUCUUCAAUAUCUCACCAAAUUUCCAUACAAAAAAGAAAUCACAAUGCCUGGAAAAGAAAAAGAAAAAAAAAGCUGAGAGUUUCUAUGAACAACAAAUGUAGGAUGACAAAGAAACAAUCCAUCAAAUGAUGCCACUAUUGUUGUUCUGACAAGGGAAAACCUGUUGAACAUUAAUUUGGGCUUGUACAUGUGGGUUCUUGGGAAAUUAUUUUUCCGACUAUCUAACACAAAUUAUAUCCUCUCUGUGGUCCACAGAUAAAUGUGAGAUCUUUCAAAUAAUGUUCCCUUAUGUAUUUAGACUUAGUUUGGUAUUGAGGUGGAUCCAACGCUGUUAGAUAAAAUGGAGUUAAGAAAAAACAUAUAGAAAUAUGCUUCUGCGUUCUCCGAUGAGACCGUAGAAAAUAUAUCGUAACCGACUAAUCACAAUAUGCAGAAUGCAAUAUUACAUACGGAAAUAAAUAGGGUAUUUUUCUAUCGUUAUUUCUCACCCCACAUAAUAUAAUCUUCUCGCAAUCCCAAAUGAAGCAUUAAUUGAAAUAUAUUAAUUCUGCACCUGUGUUUUGUACCCAUUUUAUUCUAUCAAUCAAUUGUUCUUUUUUUUUUAAUGCAUUAAACAAGUAUAUAUUCUUUGUCAAAGAUUUUGACUUGUUUUUUUCUUUUUUCGUGUUACGACAAACGCACAAACGGAAACGAAAUGACAAACACAAAAAUAAUCAAACCACAAGUAGAAAAUAAAGAAACACAGAUUUACGUGAAAAACCCUUUGCAGGGAAAAAACUACGGGCGAGAGAGGAGAGAACUUCACUAUGAAACGAAAAAGGAAAUACAAUGUUUUUCAAAUUACAACCGACCAUGAUCACACCUCUACGGGCUCGGACCUGUCGGCCCGAGCCCUCCGCUACCCACCACAGACAUUCAUUUUUCCUCCAUAAUUUUCUUUUCCAAAUUGGUCGCACCGCGAAGCUGUCGGCGAGUCGUAAACCCGAACCUGAAUCGAUAGUAGAUUUCGAGUCAUAUCUAACAUUUCGAGAGAGAGAUAGAUAGCAUGCUAUCUGUUUUAUUUAUUUUAUUUAGAAAUAAACUUAGUUAGAAAUGUGACUCAAUUAGGAUUCGACCUUGAGAUCUCGGGUGCCAACAACCAAGCCCUUUGCCACUUGCGCUAGGGACGGUCGGUUUCUACUAGUUAAACUCGUUUAAGUUUUCACAUGACCAGAUAGACAAUCUUGUGUAUUGAUUCCUAAGUAUCCAAAUAUAUCAUAUAAGUAGAUUCUUGACAACCUUAUUAAUUUGUGCUAAAAUAUAUUGAUGAUCAUUCUUAUGUCCGGGGUAAUAUUCUUGCAAAGGUGAUAAAUAUAUUUGUCUACUGGUUUUCUUCACCACACACGCAUAUGUAUGUAGACACAUUUAUGUGUGUAUAUGCAUGUAUUGGAUUGUUCGCAAAUUACUUUGUCGCAUAUGUAUAUAUGAUAAAUGCAAUAACAUUAUACAGAACAAGUAAAGGGAGUUCCCAUGUCCAAAUUGUUGAAUUGCAAUGCGACUGGAUCAUCUUUCAUUUAAAAAAAAAAAAGAAAAAAAAAGUGAAAGAAAGACUGGAAUUGAAUUUCUUUAUUUCAGUAAUUAUAUUAAAAGAAGCAAGGAAUACAUAACAUAAAGAUAAACCCCGCAGCAACAAAGCUGGAGAGCAGCAACAAAGGAAACAGAGAUUGUUUACAACUAUAAAAAUACCACUCACACACACACACACACACACACACACACACACGCACACGAAAUAUUAAUGCAAAGCAAAAUCACUCUUCCUGGUCAUCUUCCUCUCUGUAUCUCUCUGUCUCUUUCACCUCUUGCAGACAAUCCCCUGAAUUCCAUCUUGAGCUCCACAAGCAACCGUCGGCGGAUCCUCAAUCUCAGCACCCUCCCUCUUGAGCCCGAACUUCGAGACGGCACAGUCCGUCGCAAACAGAUGCGAGGUCGAGUACUUCUCCGCACCACCCAUGACCGGCAUCGGGACGCCGAUCUUAACUGGACUGCGAUAACCCGGCACGUAGGUCUGGCCCAGAACCCCGCUCACCGAGUUGCUCAGUGAACUGAACUUGAAGCUGAGCUCCAGAUGAGCAAAGCAGUCGUCCUCCGUAAUGCCGUACCCAUGAAUUCUCGAUUCUUCUUCGGUGAUGGGCACCACUCUCACUCCGAUCUUCACCACGCCCACCACUUCAGCCACGAUCGAGUUCGUCUCCCCAACACGUUUGAUCUGCAAGUCGCCCUCCGGCGACGUCCACAUCUCGCCGUCGCCCGACGGGAUGUUGAUGUCUGCUCCAUUGAAUUGCACGUGCAUGUUGUCGUCGGAUCCGUGCCAGGUCGCGACCUUUCUUGCGCCAACGUAGAACUGCUGCGAGCCGAACAAGACGCCAAUGGACUGGACCCAGGUGAAGUCCCUCCCCUUGCCUUGCUUUCCAAUGAAAUGCGCGUUGACAUGGAUGUCGGAAUCGGUGACGAGGCAGAAGUCCUUGUUUUUCUUUCCGUGGAAGUAGAACUUGAUGCCGUCUCCACCGAUGAAGCGCGGGUCAUGGCACACCGCUCCCGGCUUAUCGCAAGCUGAUCAUGUACGUGCACAACCAAGAUUUUACAUGCAUGUAACUCGAUAAAUAAAUAAGAAGGAAAAAAAAAAACAAAAAAAAAAAAAGCCCGGAUCCUACCGAAAAUAUAGAUAGUGCAAUUUACAGUAAGUAUCUCUUUCUAAUUAGAUAUUCUACCAACUCGGAUAUUACAAUAAAAAACUUAAAAAUACAGAUUAGUGCCGGCUUAUAAGUGCUUAAUAAUAAUAACUGCAUUAUUAGGUAGUAAGUUAAAAUUUUAGUGUUCAGCACUCAUUGGACAAUGCACCACUGUUCAGCUAAGAACUAUAUAUACAUAUAGGUUCUUAAUUAACCUAAUAAGUUGUGAUACUGAAGAAGAGAAGUUUGUGAUUAACCCGCAUUAAAUUGUGUGCUCAUGCAUGGAUGGAGUACUCCAUAAACAUAGAAUAGUAUGCAUUCACAUAUACAUAAUGAAUUUAUUUUCUUAUUUAGAAAACAAAGUAGAUUAAUUAGGGGGAGGGAAAAGAGAGACUUACGACAAUAAGGCUUGCAUGUGUUGCAGUCCACCUCGCAUUGGUUAGGACAACCCUGCGGGCAAUUGAAUAAUUUUCCAUAGCAAUACGAGUAGGUGUUCAUGCACUUUGCUGUUCCGGCAUUAACAUGUCCACAGAAGAAGCAGCUUAUUAGCGCAACCAAAAGAACCUGCAGGAAAUAUUUCAUGGUUACGUAGCUUCUCUGGGAACAAAAGCUAUAAAAGGAAAGGUGUCUGAGCGAAAAUAAAGCUAGAAGAGAUGAAUAUUGCUGGGUGGAUAUAGCUAGUGGUGCAUGUAGGGGUUCGUAUUUAUAGCUUUGAGAUCGAAGAGCUUAUGUGCAUCUUGGGUAGUGAUUUUUUAUUGUACUAUCGGUAUGAGACAUGUAAUUUUAAAUGUCUCUCGCUCUCUUUAUAAUUUUAUUAUCAUGAUGAUUGCGCUAGAAAGUGCUUGCCCAUUGUUCUUUUAUUGGGGCUUGUUUUCUUUCUUUUUUGCGGGGGAAGAAUCAUUGGAAGGAUACAGUAAUUAAUUAAUUAAGCAGAGAAGGUGGUAGGAUCAAAGGAAAAAGUCCACCACUGAUUUCGAACCUUUAUUCCAUAUAAUCUUAUCAAUCCAAUCAUAAAAUAAAAUAAAAAUUUAAUCAGACCCAAGCAUUUUCUUUUCUCAGGGGUCUUUGGUCACCCUAGAUUUUUCUUUUUUAUUUAGUAUAGACUUUGUGUAGGUUUACUCACCCUUUCUCUUUGCGUUCUUUUCUUUCUUUUCAAGAGGCCUAGCUGCCUAGCUCAAUCUGUUGUAAGUAAAUUCAUUUAUCUGAUGAAUAAAGAGAUAGCAUGUUAUAUUUUCUCAAGAAAAAAAAACUAAUCAGGAAAUUUCUACAAUUUAAUUAUUGGGUGACUAGGAUCGAAUAAUUAACGAGAUGGAAUCCAGCGCAAGUGAAUCGCAUAGGAACAAAAUUAGUACUGGUGCAUGUGAAUGGUGAAAAAAAAUUAGAUUGUAAUACAAAUAAAAUAAGUAAUCAGUGACUUAGAUUAAAUUUCAAACUUCGAUUUCUCAAAACAGGUUCUUUACUUGAGCUGAACUUUAGUUAUGAUAGAUCCACUAUAUAUACGUGGAUUAAAUGAUUUGGUGCAUGCAACCGUUCUGUUAGUAAACUCUCCACAUUUGAACAAAUUAUUGGUCUGAAUAUAGUAGGUUCAGGAGAUGCAGGUGAUUAAAACUAGGACUCUUAGAUUGAUCAUAUCGUGCAUUUAGGUUUUAGUUGUUGAAAAUUAAAAGUAUCCUCUUUUCAAGCAUUUGAAUUAAAAAAAAAGUAAAUAAUAUUAAGGAUAGAUUGCUAAUUGGUCCACUGCCAUGUGACGGACUAAUUUUAAAAAUCGUUUCCCAUUCAACUCGACGUGCGAUCAACUUAGAGACGCUCCUGCAUAACUUGACGUGCACUAAGAAGAGAAAAAAAAUUUUCCAAAAAAGAAAAAAAGAGUUGUCGGUGCACGAAAAAAAAAACAAAGAAAGAAGAAGAAGUGGAUAGCUGAGUUGUGGAGACACGUAGAGUUAAAAAAUUUUGCCAGAUUAUUCGAAUGUCUUGGUUUGAAAGUUUUAAGUACUUUAGCCUGAUAUUAAGGAAUAACAAAGAAUAGGAACUCAACGUAUAUAGAUCAUUGAUUAGAACCAUUUAGUUGCUUAAACUCGUGGGCUAUAAUGCAACGGAUGAAUUUAUUAUUAGUAUGCCCCUUUCGUAGUAUAUAUAACAUGUGCAAUGUGAUAAUUACAUGAUUUGGGGUACUAAUUAACUAACAAUUGCAGUAGUCCUAUAGUAGUUUACUUAAAAGAGAACUACGGCUGCAUAAAUAAAUGAUAAAUAUGGCAAUUGAAUCUAUGACCUUGCAGAAUAUUCGGAACUUAAGAUUAACUUAAAUACCAUAACACUCAAAAACUUAAGAUCAGCUCUGAUAUGUAAGAAGAUCAAUCCCAGUUACUCUAAUCAUUAAUAUGCAUGGUAGAAGUCGGGCAAACCAUGCUAUUUUUAUUAAAACAAGAUGUAAUGUGCCAUCGACUACUGACGAAUGUAUAGGAAUUUAAUCGAGAGUUUUUAGGAAUGGAAAAGGUUUAGUACCGACUCUAAUAUUAUGUUAAAAGAUUAAUAGACUUGAACAAUAAAAUAUUUAUGAUAUUUUAUAUUUAAAUAUUUUUCUCACGUUGGCUCGAGAUUUUUUAUUGGCUUAGAUAAACUUCACUUAAUAUGGAAAUAAUUAAAUUAAAUUGAAAGUGUGACGAGAUUCAAACAUAACAUUCUAAUUUGAUGAAGUUGGCAAUUCCUUCUCUUCUUUCCCUUCUCGAGAGUAAAAAGAGUUGUUGAUGCCAUUGCGGAAUAUUCUCGAACAUUUUUUUUUUUUUUUUGAGAGAGAUAAAUAACACGCUAUCCACCUCGUUUAUUUUAUUUAGAAAUAAACUAAGCUGGAAAUAUGAAUCAACUAGGAUUCGAACUUGGGUCUGGAAUACCAACUAAAAUAUCCUCAAACAGUUGAUCUACCUACAUGUGCGGUGGGAUUUCGGAUUAUAUGCAUAUAUAGGCUAAUAGUCCCACAUCGGCUGCUUAAGUUUGUGGUGCCCUAUAAACUAUCUUUAAAAGGAGAGGCCCGGUGACCGAAAAAAGCAUCUUUGCGCUUGGGGCAAUGACGCAGCUGGGGAGGUGAAAACCGAAGCGCGUCAAUUGCUGGUUGAAAACUAUUUCCAAACCCCCUCUUUGGCCCUGGGCUCGCCCCGGUUGCCACUGAGAAUUUCUGGAAGGGCCCCCUCUAACCAGGGUAAAGGCCCUCCAAGUUUGAACUUCAAAAUUUCUUUGAUAAAAAUUUACUUUUUUGGAGGUCACUUGUAAGUAAUCCAAUCAUUGGGCGUAACGUAAACCAAUAUUAGGUUUGAAAAAUCAAAUUUUGUGAGUGGGGUGGCCCACUUCUUAGGCCCACGGUCACCAUUUCUAAUAUGAAACCUCCCUGCCCCCCUAUCACGUACAUAAUAUUUUUUUAAAGAGAGAGAUAAUAAGCUGUACAUAAUAAUUUUUUGAAGAGAUAUAUAGAUAGUAUGCUGUCCGUUUCGUUAAUUUUAUUUAAAAAUAAAUUAGUUAAAAAUAUAAAUCAAUUAGGAUUCAAAUUUGGAAACUCGGAUACCAAUCAUGUAGUUUUUUAUUUUUUGUCAUUUGCAUCAGAAACUAUUGGUAUCACACAGAGGAUAUGAACAGUGAUUGUUGACCGUUUAUCAUUUCUGCCAAUAUAAUUGCAUGGCAAGUGCAAAAAAUAACAGUUGGCCGCCUCGUACACGCAGGUAUACUUUUAAUUUGCAUGUUGCAGUCCCAGCCAGGAAAAAGGUUUUUAUUUGCACUACUUUUAACACUUCAUUUCAUUUAAGUUACAUCAACAUUUAUGAACCUGGUCUACGCUCAAUUUUAAUUCAAAAAAUAAUAGUGCCAAUUCUUCAAUAUCUAAAAAGUAAAAAACUGCAUCAAACUUCCCUCAGUAGUAACCAUCUUAUUGCUUCUUUUAAUUUAAAUUUAGUUCUAUUAAAUGAGUCUCGGAUAUAUAUUAUUAAAUGUAACUAUUAAUUCAGUUAAAUUUAAUUAAUGAUUCUACUUACUUUUUUUUGUUUGAUAAGACUGCAGCUUUGUUUAUAAGUUAACACAUAGCUAGAAGCUUAUGGAGCUAGCUACCAAUUUUCACGGAAUAUUUCUCAUUCACCUAACAAAACAAGUAAAAUUAAGAGGUCAUAGGCAAAAAAUUAAAAAUAAGUUGAACCAUCUAUUUUAAAAUAUAUAUUUGGCCUACUACCUUAUCUUAAAUUGGUAGUCCACAAAUCAUCCAGUUAGUGGUUUGCAUGUCCUCUGUGGCAGCAUCUUGUGGAUAUACACUGUGACCGGCAACGUGCAAUGUCAAAUGAUGCUACUAUCAACAAUGUGUACGUACUAGCUAGUUUAUUAAGCAACUGUGUGGUAUAAAACUAAAGCCUAAGUAUUUGAAUAAUUUAGCCUUAGUUAAACGGUUUGCUCAUGCUUGUAAUGAGAAUUGAGAAAAGCAUUUGUACGUACUAGCUAGGCUGCUUUUACUGAAUCAAACAUGCACAUGGAUUGAGAAGUCUAAAUUUUAGAUGAUGUGGUAAAGUAGCUUAUUAUUGGAAUCUAUUAUCUCAAAAAUGCACGCUAGCAGGAUGGCCUCUCCUGCUUCUUCAUUUUCUCGACAUUGUUGUGAUAGCACGCCCAAUAUAUAUGGCAGAACUUGCAUUGAGAACUCAAGCGAUAUAUGUCGCUGCCGCCCGUCUAAGCAAAGUAAUCUCUAAUACACAUUCGAUGGCUUAAUGUACAUUUAUCAUCUUUAAAGUACAAUUUAUUUGUAAUUGACCGGCCCCUUCUUUAAUAUAAAAAUAUAAUUAUUAAAUCAUAAUUUUUUUUUUUUUUAGAGAAAGGACCGGAGGUUGUUAUUCACUUUGUUCAUUUUUUAAAAAAGUUAGUUAAAAAUGCGAGACAGUUAGACUUUAAAUUUAGAAUCUUUGGUACACUAGCUAGAAACAGUCGGUAUUGAAUUACAAUUUAGGAAAGAAAAUGCCACAACACACUGGCAUGAUCAAGCUCUUAGACCUUUACAGGGGUUAAUCACUUGGUCUUACUGAAUGCCCCAUAUUAGAGUCUCUUGAACCAUAUUUGGUUCAGGCAGAAAACUUAAGCCCACAACGACGCGGUGCUUCUCUUAAACCUCCCUCUUUCAUCCUGCCACGUCUUCCCUUAAUUUCUCAAGUCUCCAACAUCCAACCAAAUGAAGAGGAAAACGGAAAAGGCAAAGAGCUUCCAGAAUCGCCUGCUCAUCUCCUUAACAUUAUUAUUCCACUACAUGCUUACCACAUCUCCCCACCUUCUCUACACCCUCUGACCAUGUACACCCACCACCACCACUAGGUCCACUACUACGCUAUUAUGCUAUAACCAUCCCAUUUAGUCCCCCCCCCCGGCCGACGCAAACCCAAAAGCAACGAGCGCACAACCCACCACCAAGAAACAUGGCCACGCCGCGCCGCGUUUCCUGCAUCCGCACGCUGCGCCCGAGCCACCGAUCCGCCGCCCAAGCGGACGAGGCCAAGCGGAGCCGCUCCCCCUGCGUCUGCUGCGUGGGGCCCCACCACCAACCCAAAUCGAAGCCCCGCACGCCGCGGAGCGCCCGCCGGGGCCCGCGCGCGGUGGCUCGGCCCGGGCGGUGGUUCCGCGCGGUGCGCCGCUCGUUCGCGCAGGCCCCGUGCAGGUCCAUCGCCGUCGCCGCGCGCGGGGGCGAGGAGGUGAAGGUCUACAACCCGAAGCUCGCGCAGCCGGCCGAGGGCGCCGCGCUCAAGGAAGGGAGCGGCUCGGACGAUGAGUUUAGUUUGCUGUGUAAGGAGGGAUUCUGCCGCGAGGACGUGGCGGCGGUCACCAUCCAGGCCUACUUCAGGGCCCAUCUCGUGCGCUUAUUCUACCCUACUUCAUUUUAAUUUAUUAUUUUUGCGUCAAAUUUGUAGAUAUAUAAUUAUAUAGUCCCUCUUCCCUCUACACUCCAACGCUACGUGUCAGAUUGAUUUGCUCUACUCAUCCAAGGAAUUAUUAUUAUCAUGCUAAUCUUAUUAAUUAUCGUUUUUUUAAUCCUAAACUUUUUUUAAAAAAAUUAAUACAUUUUUCGAUGGAAGAUGUGUAAAAUUUACACCUAUAUAUACAGAAUGUAUGGGAUAUAUUUUUCUACCUGAUUGACUUAGUUUUUAUAAUUUGCGCUUAAACAUUUAAUCUCUGUAAUCGAUCGUUUUUACUCUUUUAUUAUUAUAAUGGGUGUCAAAGUUAAAUCACAUAAAUAUUGACUUGUACCGUGCAUGUUGGCAUGUGGGUGAUCACAACAAUGUCCGUAGGCGAACCCAAAGCAUUUAUUUUUCUAACUAAAGUGACUUCUCUGGUUUCGAGCGCACUGUAUAUAUGAUGAUGGAAAAGAUCGUUUGCCACGAGAUGUCAAAUUAUUUUCAGCGGCUAAUGAUGAAUUGUUAUAUUUUGCAAUUAAGACUUCAGAAACUAAAGUAGCAAACUGAAUUCUGUAAUCCAAUUAAGUUGCAAUAUGGAUGCAGUUUAGGCACUAUGGGUGCAUCCAAACCUUUUUUCUGCUUUAGAUGUCAUUUAAUUUGUGACACUAAUAAAUAACUGCUGUUUAUGAGACCAAUGUGGAAUUGCGUGGCAUUAGGCGCGGCGGGCGUUCCGGGCGCUGAAGAGCCUGGUGAGGCUGCAGGCGGUGGCGCGGGGGGCGUACGUGCGGCGGCAGGCGGAGGUCGCGAUCCACUGCAUGCAGGCACUGGUGCGCCUGCAGGUUCGGGUCCGAGCCAGGCAGCUGCUCAGCAAGUCCAAGGAGGCCCAGCUCCUACAAAACUGAAGAUUUCUGUAGGAUACUCUCCUCAACCUUCUCAGUGAUCGACGCCCUCUGAAGUUUGUAAUCUGAUUGCAUUUUGUCUCAUUUAUGUAUGUUAACCUUUUCCUGUAAUGAAAUUGUGACUUGUUGGCGAAAAUUGUUCCUCCCUUGCCUCUCUUUAAUUUCUUCACCGAUCCUUGAUUUUAUUUUCAUUAUUUGAUUCCAUUGCACCAUAAAUUUCUAUAUAUCCGGCUGGGUAAAUUGCAUUACUGCUCCUCAUCUUUCUAUCCAUUUUCGUUCUGAACCAAGUACUCUUUUUAAGUGAAACACUGCCAACAUGUGCUGACUCGUCGAUCGAUCAGGGAAUUAUGUUAUUCAUAGCGAACUGCAGUCAGAAACCGGCACAAAGCCGUCGAGUACAUUAAGACUUAAAAUGCACGUACGUAUGCAAGGGGGGAAAAAAAUAUGAAAAGAGAUAGCGAGACAACAACUCCAGGAGAAUUUGUCGACACCCAAAUUCCGACGUUUGAAAGAGAAAAACGAAGUGAGGAAACAAGCAAAACCAUGAUGAUCAACCAACUAGCUAGAUCACCGGCGCUGGCUCCUGCUGCAUGGCCACCACCUUGCGCCAUGCGGGCCGGUUGGUGAUCUGCUUCCACCACCGGUUCACGUUCGCCAUCGACGCGAAAAGAGAGCGGCACGCAGGGAUGGAGCCGAGGCGGUGCGCAUUGGGGACGUGGGAGAGGUCGGCGAGCGUGAAUUUGUGGCCUGCGAGGUACUCGUCCUCCGCGAGCCUGCGCUCGUAGAUGUCAAGCACCUCCCCGAGCUUGCGCUCGCUCGCCACCACCGCCUUCUCGUCCUUCUCCUGCCCCAUGAGCGGCGCGAACGCCAGGUUGAAGACCAGCUCCGAGCUCGGCGGGCCGAAGCUGUGCGCCUCCGUCUGCAGCCACUGCUCUAUCGCCGCGCGCUCCAACGUGCACGUGCCGAACAGCUCCUUGUUCCCGCGCUCGUGGUUGCGCCCCGCAAUGUGGCGGCAAAUCUCUCUCGAGUCUGAGAUCGAACAGUUAACAGCAAUUCAAUAUCAUGAAGUUAAGUCCUAAACUUCUUUAACUCAAAUUUCACUUAGAUCCCCAAAUUUUAAAUUGAAUUAGGCUGGUGCAUUGAUGUACGAAUGGUUAUACUAAGGAGCAUUUGAUUGAAAUAAUUUUUUUCUUUUCAAGUAUUAUCCCUCGCCUUUUCUAAAGCUAAUUUAGGAGCAAAUAGUUUUGCGUAUAAUGACUACGAGAAAAUAUUGACAAAACUUGGAAUAAAAUGAUUGAAAAAAAUAGAUAAAUUGAUCACUUCAAGUUUUUGACAAAUGACUUUUACAACGGGUAUUUUACAAAAUAAAUUAAUAGAAAAGUAAUAUGAAAGGUCCGUGCAGCCACACUUUCGCAAUAUAUAUAUAUAGAGAGAGAGAGAGAGAGACAGUAGAGUUACUAUACUCCUAUGAGUAUAGAUAUCUUUAUACUUAUAAGUUUUCGACCGUUAGAUUAAAAAAAUAUGUAUAGAUAUUUUUAUACUUAUUAGCUUUCGGCCGUUGGUUAGAAUGAUAGUGAUUUUUUAAAGUUGAGUGGGUGGUUGGUUGAAUAAUAUGAUCUAACAGAUAGAAAUGAUAAACGAAGUAGAUCUAACGACAGAAUACUUAUACAUAUAAAAGAGUCUAUACUCAUAAGACUAUAGUAACCGAACUCUAUAUAUUUAAUUAUUACGUAAGUUAUUUCUAAAGUUUUUAUAGAUAUUGUUUGUAACAUUAGGCAAAAGUAUAAGAUCCCAGCGAGAAACGAUUCUUACCAACAAGCGUCAGUUUCCCAUCUUCGAAUGUUAGCGCUUGACCAUGCGGCUGCAACGAACAACAUCGGUAAGAAUCUCACACCAUUCCUACUGAUUAAAAAACAGAGCAUAUUAAGGACCUAUUUGGCUCAACGGCUACUUCCAACGUACGGCACCGUACCGCGACCGAAGUUUCAGUUUUAAACUUCAACUGUAAUACAUUAAAAAUGGACCAAGCCAGGCCAAAGGAUAUACUAGAUCAGUUUACGAAAAGAGCAUCACCUGCAGUUUGAGGUAGUCGGGCAUGCGCUUCUGGCCCUUGUACGUAUCUACUCGGAUCAGCUGGAACUCAACAUCCUUCUCGAAGAGGCACAUCAACACUCUCGCGACUUCCGUCGAGGUUGGUGACCCGAAUACCUUCACGCUCGCCAUCGAAAAUUUGGUUACGGAUACGGAGAUCAAAGUGCUCUACUCUCUUAACUAAUACACACUAGCAGUUGAUAGUUCCAGUUCCAAGUGCACAGAGGUUGGAUGGUUCAGGUGGUUUUUAAACUUAGCUUGUAGCACAAUGAAAUGCCUUGCUUGUCAAGAGGAAAAAUUAAAGGGCAAAGGGAAAGAAAAUAAAGGGAAAGUGAAAGGAGAAAAAGAGAGAGGAUAGCUUAUUAAUUUAAUUGGUAUUGAAGGUGUUUUACUGGAGAUAGAUCUGGCUUUUUCUUUCUUUAAGAUGGAGCUUCUCCAUCAAGUAUGUGAGCUUAGUAUGUAUUUUAAUAUCAGCUAAACAAAAUAUGUCAGAAAAGCUAAAGGGAUUCAGAGAUGGAUUUGGCUUUAGGUCGGUUUUGAAUAACCAAUAUUAGGGCUUUCUUUAGUAAAGCUUCUUUAGUAACUGCGAUGAUUAGAGAAUUUGUUUUUAAUCUGUGAGGAUCUCUCUUGCUACUUGAUAUUCCCUGUUUUAACAUUACAUAAUAGCUGCGUUUUCAUUGAAACUCUCCUACCAGUUGCCAAUUCUCAUUUCAGAUUCAUCACACUCUUUUCAAGGACAAUAGAAAACACCGCAAAAUUCUGGUGAAAAUCUCAAAGAAAAUCGAGUCCUCGAGUUGACGUUUGAUGAUAAUGCGGCAAUUGGUUGAUCUAUCAUUCCAUGGAAGUCAACAAUGAAAGAGACCAGAUCUCGGUGUCCUCUCAUAAUUGAUUCACUAAUGAUUGAUUGCAUGAUUAAUUGGCCACCUAAAAUCAAGAGCUCAAACUACACUUCGGUGCACACUCUUAAGCCACACCCCGUAAUAUAUUAAUAUCCACUAAAACAUGAAUAAAGCAGAAACUAAAAUGGAUAUAUAUAUAUAUAUAUAUAUAUAUAUAUAUAUAUAUAUAUAUAUAUAUAUAUAUAAAACUGCAAACAACAAACAACUUCAGAAAAAACAGGAAGCAUUAUCGAAGUAUCUUGCGCCUUUCGAUCAUAGGCGUCAAUCGAUCACGUCAUUUCUUGAACAAUUUAAGAUGAGCACGUACUACCAACAUAAAAACUCGAGCUCAACUAUAGCUCGAGUUCGUUAAGCCACUGUACAAUCGGAGACAAGCCUGGAACUUGACAGUACAAUUAACUCAUCUCAUCCAUAGCCCUACCUAGGCUUUUGUGAGCACCUAAAUAACCUAAUUGUCAGUCGAGUUAGGUUUCAAGAGACUUUGAAUUUUCAUUUAGAUAAGAUAGCAAACAUCUUCGGAUUAUUAUUCAACUUUAGGAACUAUAUUUCACAGAAUACAAACUUCACGAACUGGGAUUCACAGAAUACAUAGAAAUGCUUCUCGAUUAUUUAUUAGAGAAACUCCUCACACCUUUUGUAAUGCCAAAGAGGAAGUACUCGACGAGUAACAAGCAGACAGAAACAACAAACACACCACAUGACACAGAGAAGCAAAAACGACAGAUAGCAGCAAAGCCAUCAGAGCGGAUAUAUUGCCGGUGCUCGGUUAAUUAUUUUCCUGAUCGGACCAGGAUACUCAUUCUGCAAUUGGACAACCUCCUUCCAUGAGGGGCGAGUCGAGAUUGCGUUCCACCACCUCUCCACAUUCUUCCUUUCAGUGAAAAGUUCCUGUCCCCUUUUAGACAGAGUAACAAGAUAAUGAGAAUUCGGGAGGUGCGAAAGAUCCGCGAGGGUAAAACUAUCCCCAGCUAAGUAUUUGCUGUCUCCAAGUCGCUUAUUGUAAAUGUCAAGUAUCGCAGAGAGCUUCUUCUCAUUUUGUUCUAUCACGGCUUCGUCAGGGUGUAUGCCCAACGGCUCAGCAAAAGCCAAAUGAAAGAUCAGUGCGGAGCUCGGACGUGCAAAGCUGAGAGCUUCUGAUUGAAGCCACUGCUCAAUCAAUGCCCUAUCCAGUGCUCCUUUUCCGUAAAGUGCUUUGUUCCCCUCAUCUUCGUACUUGGUGGCGACGUGACGUAUUAUGGCCCUCGAAUCUAACAGGACAAAAGUAACAAGAUUGCAUUUCACUUUUUGGCCGGUAUUGCAAAUAAACGAGGCUAAAAUGCAAGAAACGACCUAACAAAUAUCAUGAUUUUACAUAUGAAACACAGGUUUUGCAAAUUAAGGCAUGCGGAAAACAAAGCGGAAAACAUGGCAUCUGCAGGGGAAUUAUCAUAAAACUUAACCAAAAUAAACGACAAGGAGCAUCAGCGUGCUUCACUUACUGGUAAGGGUGAGAUCCCCAUCCUUAAAUGUCACUUGACCACUGAUAUCCUGCAAGGUUUGAAAGGAAGAAUCACAAGAUUUAUCCUCAUCAGAGUGUAAACACCACCCUAGUAAACAAAGAUUGUAAACACCUGUAUGCAUGAACAAAUAUGCUUAUCGAGUAACUUGCCUGGAGCUUGAUGAAUUCAGGUACAUUGGGUUGUCCAUUGAAUUUAUCAGCGCGAACGAGUUCGAACUUUCGAUUCUUUUCAAAGAGGCAAGUCAGCACCCUCGCAACAUCUGUGGAGGCCGGCUGUCCAAACACUUGCAAACCAGCCAUUUUGUGAGUUUUAGUUCCCCUUUAAUUUAAUUCGAUCUCACACGAGCUGCACCGAUAUGGAGUAUAGCCACAAUUCCGGCAGUAUUUAAGGUGCGGUUGGCCAGACGAAUUUUCUUUUCUUGGUAUGUACGUAGGCUAGCACCACAAGCAGGAAAAGACAGAGGAUAAAGUAAAGGGCAAAGAAUAGGGAUUCUUGCUUCUAACAGUACUACUGUAACUACCAGAUUUAGUAUGUAAUAUUGAAAGAAGGGCUAAAGUGCAUACCCUCUUGAGUUGUAUUAACGAAUAUAUAUAGUACAAGAAAUUGUCUUACUAUAGUAACAAUGAUUACUAUAGUAAGAGUAUAAAUAGGAUUACAUACUAUACAAUCCUACUCUAUAGAAAGCAAUGAUACUACUCUAUAUAAGGCAAUAAUACACAAUAUCCUAAUAUAGAUAAAAUAUAUCGUAACAAAUAUGCCUUAUGCUAGCUGUCAGUCUUUUAUAUAAUUUUUCAGCAUAAUACAUAAAUCAUGGACUAGAGGAAUAUAACAAAGAAAAGGUUUAAUGUAUCAUACAAGGUUGUGCCUGCUACAUCGGAAAAAGGAUUCAUUAUAGGUUGGCAAAGAAGUCUGGAAUCAAAUGGAUUUGAAGUGAAAAAGAAUUAAUCACUUUUUGCUAGUGGGACAAGAAUUAGAUCUUUGAUUAAAGUAUUAAGCUUCCUCUCAAGCACAAUUAUGAUGGAAUCAAUGGUAAUGAAAUGUAGUAAGUGGAAUUUUUUACUUGCAAUAGACACAGCUUGUUCUUGCACCGGAGGCAAUCUUCUUCGAUAACCAUAUGAAAUAAUAUAUUGGAUUGUCAGAGUUUAGUUUAGCUUAUGUUUAUGAAAGCUGACAGAAUUUCCAUUACCUUGCUGCUCACAUGGAAAGAUGGAGAAUGAAUUCUUCAAAAACAAAACAGAGAUACUAGAUAGUGGAAACAUAAUAAUUUAUAAGCUGAAUGUAGAUGUCUAUGUUGUUACUAUAUCCGGAUGGAGCUUGGAAAUGAUGUAACCGAUCCUCUCAUCAUCAUCAGAGUUUGAUGAAACUAUGCAUUCUUUCAUUUUUCGCUCUAAAAAACUUACCCCCAGUCAAUUUUGACUAGGGGCAGCCUUUGUUAAUUCAAGUAUGGUUGUUAAGGCAUUGUUAGAUUAAGCGCAUCCUAUCCGUAGGGUAAAAAACACAGGAAAGAAAAAGGUUCAAUGUAUCAUACAAGAUUGCACCCCUAGAUCACCAAAGGAGACAGCCAUGUGAGGGAAAAGCCAUGUGAGGGAAAGAAAGAUGGCAUCAAGUGAACCACAAGUUAAGAAAUUUUAAGUUUCCUUUGUCUGGGAACAAUGAUUAGAUCUUGAUCAAAGUUACAUUCUUAGUACGGUGAACCUGUAUGAUCAAAUCCAUGUACAACUAAGACGUCAAGAACCAGUUCAGAAUGUAAAUCCCAUUGUUUGCAUAAGAAAGCAAUAGACACUAGAUGAUUAAACGGAACCAGCAUAAACAAUUUAAGCAGAUAUCAUAUCUGAUGAUUAUCACUAAUCCUCCCAUUAUACUUUAGAGUUUGACAAACCAUGCAAAUUGUUUUGUUUCUAUUAAUUCCGAUUUAGCCCAAAAAAUCAGCUUCAGCCAUGUUUGGUUUGGAACAACCAGCAAAAGUGUGGUUGAACUAAUGUGGAUCAACAACGUUGAAUUAUACCGACCGUCUCUAGAGCAAGUGGCAAAGGAUUUGGUGGUUGGUAUCCGAGGUCCCAAGUUCGAAUCCUAGUUGAUUCAUAUUUCCAGCUAAGUUUAUUUCUAAAUGAAAUAAACGAAUCAAAUAGCGUGCUAUCUAUCUCUCAAAAAACAAAGUUGAAUUGUCAGAGUUUCAGAUCCUUUAACCACUGGAUCUUAAGCACGCAAAAUAUACCAAAUAAGCACUCCAGCAUCCAACCAUCAAAACAGAAAUGCACGAACUAUUUUAAACGAGAAUUUUGAGUACCCUGUACGACAAUUCCAAGACAAAUGGGAGUGGGGAUUGGUCACUAAAACUCAAAACUUAAAACGGGUAUCUCUUUGUCCUGAAUCAUAAUCCGCGAGAGAGAACUCUCUCCCCCAACCGGGAACUGACUCUCUCAAAGCUUGUUGCUCGUGCACAUUCAUUAGUACCUUCGCGAAAUUUGCAAUGACGGAGCCAAAGUCCAUGGCCAGACAAACGAGGAGCGUGCAUUAAGGAUUUGUUAUAAUAUGUUUGAAAAAAUCAUUAUCACCAACCGCUCAAUCCAUUUGCUAUUAUAGAUUAGCAACAUGGCAUAUCAAAUAUUAUGUUCUUACAUCCAUCUAUUUCAACACUAACACGAAUAAGAAGUUAUUUGCUGCCUUUAUCUGCCUAAAUUAUUUGAAAAUACCAACUAAUCAGGUUUUUGCAAAAAGUUUUUUCUUUUUGGAGUAUAAACAUUCAAUACUCUUUGUCUGUUACUAUAAUUUUAAUCCAUCAAAAUCGAACUCUUCCUCUGCCGUAGAAACUGUAUCCAAUAUGCUCCAAAUGGUGGCCAUUUGCACGCAAGGAAUCCACGGGACAUCCGAUCCCCGCUAUAUAAUUGUUCAAUGAUUCCAGCAUCACCACGAAAUUGCAUGGUAUUAAUUGUUGGAUUCAGUCUCUUGAACAUUUUUCCAAACACUCGGUUCCCGAGAUACAUAUUCAGAUAAACUAGAGUUAACAAGUUUCAUCAUUUCCCAAUAUAAAUCACUUGCUACUCUCAAAAAAUAUAUAAAUCACUUGCGCUUGUUAUUGAAAGGUUGAUGCAAACACUCCAAAUAGUCAGUAUACCACUGUAGAUCGCUUGCUACGGAGAUCACAGAGCACGAACCGCAUGGAAUAACACUUAGCUACUAAGAUUGUCCGAAAAGCACUACGAGAGAAACAUCUAUUUCCAAGUACCAAAAUUGUCCCCCUGCCCCCCAAAAAAAAGGAAAAAAAAAAAAGAAAGCCAGGAAUAAGGGGAAAAGUAAGAAACAAAGCCAAAAUCCGGACCUCAGGAAGAGCGCGUUCCCCUUCGGCUCGCUCCGGGCCAGAGAGCUCUUCCCCUAUAUUUUUGCUAGAUCAAUUGGUGAGCUAAGUUCAAUAAUAUCAGUUAAAAGUUAACCAUGUGGAAGGCAAGCGCGCAGAUGUGACGGGAGGCAUGUUGCGGACAUUGACAUCGAGCGGCAGCAUCCGGUAUUCAAUAUCGAGUUCUUUUAAGACUCUGAUCAUCUCCUGAACCACGAGCUCUCUCCUCCCCCACCUCAUCCCCAUAUCUUGGUGAUUGAUUCGGUGGCGCAUCCAUAUAGAUACUCUCAACCUGUUCAUGUCAUCCACAUCUCUAAGAACGACAGAUGGAUUAGGGUACCAAUGUUCCUUCUUACUCUCCAUAAACCUGCAACCACAUUACAGUGAAAAACCGUGCUCAAGUCACGUAUGUGUAGAGACGGUAUAAUUGUAGAUAACUGUUCAUGGUCAUCCCAUGUUAUAAUGGUUCAUAUUUUAACUAGAUGGCGAUAAUUCAUUGAAAAAAGUCAAAAUCAAGACAUUAUUACAAAUAAUAAAAUAAUCCUUUCAUGACAGUUAUCCAUGUCCCACAUUUUUUGGAGAUGCUGCAUCCAAUUACGGUUUGUUAUAGGAUUUAGCUAAAUAUGAAACAAAAGAAAAUAUAUUAUAAUUGAUCCUAGAUAACCAUUCUACUGCAACGGCGUUUCACCUUCCAAAAUUAUUAGAUAGCAAGAUUCUAGAAGUAUAAACUAGUCUAGAUAGCCAAUUUGUUGAUAUUGCUUAGACCUACUACUAGUUUAAUUUGCUCCACAUAUUUCCUGAAUUUCUGCUCUCCGAACUCUAUCACUACUACUGUAAAAAAUUAGAGGAGACUAACAUCUUAUCAAAUCGACAACAGCGCCAAUUGAUAUAAAAUGCUGGAAAAGUUUUGAUACUUACUGAAUUAUUCUUUGCUUCAUGAUGGCGAGCUUUUCCACGGGUGUUGCUACAUGAACACAGAAGUCAAUUGAUUCUCCCAUAUCCGGGCUUCGAUAAAAAUUGCUGAUUGGUUUGGUAGCAAGAAGACUAUUGGGGUAGUAAAUUUUGAGGUUAUCGUACCGCAGAAAAAUUGUUGCCAUGAUAUUCAUUUCCUCGACAACCAUCUGAAAUCGGAAUAUUGCAUAUCAGCAAUUCAUGUCAGAUAAUUAAUUAUUAGGGAACAGAACAGGACAAGUCAAGGAUAUGCAUCACCUGAACCUCCUCCACUUCACAACGAUCUCCAACAUCAAAGGGGUGCACGACAAAUAAGAAAAUGAUAGAUUCAAAAACCAUCUUUAAAGUGUUCCCAAACAUAAAAACUGCCAGAAGGACCUGAGAGCUGAGGAAGACGAAGAAAUGGGUUGUCGCAAUACCCAGAAUGAGAAGCCACAGGACAAAUGCAAUGACACCUACAACAAUGUUUGCCAUUUGGUUCAGCUUAUUCACUGCAGUUUUCGUAUCAUUAAGAGUCAAGGCAAGGGCUUUGCGUUCUCUGAAUGCAUUGACCUGCAGCAAAACGGAAGAGAUGAUCCCAAGGGGGGAGGGGAAUAUACUUAUGCUUCUAAGCCAAUGAUCAGCCAGGAAUAUACGACAAAGAAACUAAACAAAAAACAAUAAUAAUAUCAUUACCACCCAGUUCUUGAGGGACUUCCUGCUGACCCUGUUAUUCUCUUGUGCUCCCUCAAAAAGGCUCAUAGUUUUCACAGCUUCCUCGUGCCUCAUGAAACGCAUUAAAUCCGACAAGUAGAUAUACCUAUGACGACAGAAAUGAGUCAUUACUUGGUCAAAAAAAUCAACUGGAUCACAUUCACGAACUAGGUGAAUGACAAUACGCGGUGCAGAGCUGAAGACAACAAAUGUAGUACUCCACGAUAGCAAUAAACGUAAUUUUUGAAAAAAUAGAAUAAACGACGAACAUAUUUCAGCCCACAAAAUUGUUCUAGUUUUGUAAGGAUAAACAGGCGCGCUUCAUAGGUAGCUAAUGGCUCGUAUUAGUCAAUAAGACUGUCAACCUUGCCAUACCCCUGUUAUUCUCAAAUGCAAGCAACUUGUAAAGUAGUUUUUACCAAGGUUCGGUAGAGAAGGGAAGAAAAUCAAUUUGACGACUUCAAGACGAAUUUUUUAGUUAGCAAACCAAUUCGCCAACAACUUUCACAUCCUCAUGAAUAUCAAACUUUUUCUUUCAGGCAUGAAGUUUUAUGAAAAGCAAUUUCUCUGCUAUAUAUAUACUGACUUGGUGGCUCGACCAACCAACUUGCACACAGGACAUAAAUAAAUAGAAGAGACGAGAAUUAAAGCACGGUUGGUUGGGUUGACCAGAGUUAUAGGACAUAUACACAACGCUAGCGGAGUAAUAAUAAUAGUAAUAAGAAGAAGAAGAAUGAAGAAUGAUAGAUAGGGACAUUUUAAAGGGAUGCGGAUGGACUCACUUGGCACCGGGCUUGGCGACGUUGUUGAAAAUCUUUCUGGCGGCAAGCUUGGCCUCGUACUCGCUCCUGAUCUGCUUGGCCGACUCGUCCUCCCCGCCCGUGGCCUGCGAGAUCUGCUCGUCGAGGGUCAUGAGCGUGCCGUACCUAACGAUCUUCAUGAGGCGCUUCAUAUUCCACGCGGACACGUUCUUCUGAUUGAGUUUGUGGAGCUGGUCGAUCGUGAUGACAUCCUCCUGCGGCUGCUGCGGGCCGCUCCCGGCGGCGUCCUUCCGCGAGACGGCCCGGGACAGCUUGAUGCUCUUCCCGAUCUGCCCGCUCUUCCUCAUGGCGCUGGCGCUGGCCCUGCCGCUGCCGCUGCCGCUGCCGCUUCUGGUGGGGAACGCGGCCUUGCGGAGAUCGCUGGGAAUGGUGACGCCGGCGCUCUGGAGCUUCUGCACCUCGGCGAAGACGCGCUCCUCCUCGUCGUGGUUGCGCUGGAUCUCGACGAGGGGCGGGCCGGAGAGCGUCUCGAUGACGUACUGGUUGAAGAGGGCCUCCUGGAUGCGGUCGAAGUAGGUGCUGACGUGGAAGGAGGAGGCGAGCACCUUGACGAGCAGCGUCUUGAGGAGGCGGAGCAGGGUGGCGACGAGGAGGCAGAAGAGGACCUUGGUGACGUAGGGGAGGAUGCGGCUGCGCGUCUCGCGCUCCACCUUGCUGUCGAACAUCAAGUGCCAGGAGACGAGGACGAGGCCCAGCCAGAGGCUGUUCUGGACGGCCCUGCGCACGCCGUAGACGAAGUAGAGCACGCGCUUGCGGAGGAGGAAGUUGCGCUCCACGAAGAACACGGCCACGCGGAUCAGCCACCCGGAGACGAGGCGCCCGCAGAUGAGCACGAACACCAGCAGCUCCCACUUCCACAGGUGGAGCCCCCACACCGUCUGCCGCUGCAGCCGCCGCACGCCCAGGCUGCACGCCAGGGCGCCCAGGAUCACGACCAGGCUCAGCCACUGCAGCAGCGUCAGCGGGUCCAGCUUCGCGCGCUUGAACUCGUCGGGGAUGUCCUCGUCCACGAACGGGUCCUCGUCGUCCUCGUCCAAGGCCGGCGGCCCCCCGGCUUUGCCCAUCGCUCCCGAUUUGCCCAUCGCGCCCGAUUUGCCCAUCUGCCCCGAUCUGGCCGGCACGCGCCCGGAUCGCCCGCCGCCGUCGUUGCUAGUUGCGGACGACAGCGGCGGGGGGUCCAUGAGCCUGGAGCGGGUCUUGGCGCGGAGCAGCGCGGAGGGGGCGCGGCGGAAGGAGGAGUUGGAGGUGCAGCGGAGAACCUCGGCGGGGGGUACUCCGUUCUUGUCUCGGCCGUCAUCGUCGGAGGAGGAGGAGGAGGGGGAGAGGGAGGAGGGGGAGAGGGGGUGGUCGGCGGAGGGGUCCUGGAAGGAGACGCGGAGCUCCUUGGAGGCGGAGAUGGAGGAGGGGGGCUUCUUGAGCUCCUCCAUCUCGAGGUCCAUGUCCAGCGACAUCUCCGCCCCGGAGGCCUUCUGCUUGUGGAGGAAGGAGCCGAUCAGCCGGGACGGAGGGUCCUCGCUGAUCUCCGCCACCGGAUUCAGGCUCUGCGGCGGAUGGCUCUUGAAGCUGAAGCCGCUACUGCCGCCUCCGCCUCCGCCGCUGCCGCCAUUAUCACCGUCAUCCUUCCAGAAUUCGUAGCUCCCCUCCCUCCAUACCUUAGGGAGGGCGGCGGCGGAGGAGGUGGUGGUGGUAGUGUUAGUAGUGGUGUUGGUGCUGGUGGCGGCGGCGGCGGAGGUAGUGGAGGUGGGGAUGGGAGGGGGGUCGACGAAGGGGUUGUGGCUGUUGCCGUCGAUCUUGACGACGACCUCGCGGCGGUCGGGGUCGUCGUGGUCGACGAGGAUGGGCUGCUCCUCCUGCAGGUCGAAGGAGGGGUUGCGGGAGGACGAGUACUUGUGGGACCCGUACGACUUGAGAGAUUUGCGAAGAGGAUCCAUCGCUCUCUUCUCUCCUCUUCUCUCCCGCCGGGAGGAUCAGACGAAAGGAAGAGGCGGAGAAGCGUUUCUCGUUUUUUUUUUUUUUUAUUUUGAUUUUUCCUGAAUAUUCCGAAUCUCGCUUGACAACAACACUUCUCGUGCUGCCCAGUAUGGGAAGAGGAAGUAGGGCUGGGAUAGAAAAGGAAAAGGAGAGACGGAGGGGGACACGGGGGGAAACAGGGCAAGAGUUUAUAUGCUCUGUUGGGUACGUGUCAACAAAAAAAAGGACAUCAUACGCUGUAGCAGGUGUUGGUCCGCUGCUUCGGACCGCGUAGCUGACCCCGCUUGCUUGAAGAAGCAUAUUUUGGUCCGAAUUUAUGGUGGAGAUGCCAAGUGCUCCUCGUACAGAGCAGCGCUGGACGUCCUAUCCUAUCAUUAACGGGGCGCGACGUCCAAUGACCCGAAAUUUCAGCACGAAUGGGGUCCAGACGUGCGACUAUUUAGGCCGAGAAGGGUGCUCCGAGGGAGCGAGCUACCGAGUCGGAUGCCGGAGGGUAGCCUCUCGUAAUUUGGGGGUAAAAUUAAGGGGGGGCGCUCUGGACGGAGAUGUUGACGCUUGUCCAGAGUGCAUGGAGGGGCUACGGGAGGGCGGUGUUCGUGAGAGAGACGUGGAUGGCAGGACGAAGGCUGCCUGCAUGGCGUCGCCCGCGACGCGACGAACCGACGCCUCGGGCCGCGUAAUCGUGCCGCAUUUUCUUUGUUGGAGGAAAGCGAAACGAAUCGCCUGCGAGAACAGCCAUCCAAAAGAUGGAAAUUUUUUUAUUUCUUAAAAAAAUUGAUAGGAAUCAACCCAGUCACCCAGGUGGAGGUUAAUCACGUUUAACAUGGGUUUUUUUUCUGGCGAAGGAUCCAGAGUAUUGGUUUAAUAAAUAGCAAAAUUACAAGAAAUUAAUAACCAGUAGUAAGAGUGGUGAGAACGAGUUCCACGGAAGCCCUAUGUAUUAUUCUAAUCAGUCUUUGUAUGCCGCGCAACAACAACGAAACAUAAACCAUAACUCAAUACUAAGAUACUAAUUUCUUGUAAAAUAUUUCUUUUAAUAUAAUAUUUUCUUAUUUUAAUAUAAUAUACUAAAAUAUUUCUUAAGAGUGUCCCAAGAGAACUCUCCGCAUAAACCCGUCCGCUCAUAUUUAUAGAGAUUCACUCAAUCAGAUCAAUCCAACUACUAAGAACCCGAAAGCACCUCCUCCUAAAAAAGAGAUGAAUUUAGUACCUUAGCACUACCACCGAGUAAACCAUGAUAUCGAAGCGAAUACCAUCUAGUCCCUCUAUCGCAAUCUACAUUGCUACCCAACACCAUCCCAAGUAAAACCCUGUAUACAUUGUGCUAGUCCAACCCACCUCUCCCUAGUGGUCUAUUCACAACAACGGGGCUGGAACCACAGACCGUCUGUAGCCAUCUCUCUUUUUAUCCAGUUUCUCUUCUUUCACCUUUUCUCUAGCGGCCUUUCACAAGUCAAAGAGGAUACCCAGCAUUCCGCUACUUCAUGCCCUCACAGCCAACGAAUGUGGAGAAGUGCUCCACUUCCAACAAGGUAGCCAAAAAUUUGGAAAUCAAAACAGACUAUGUAGGGAAAGUUUACUAGGAAAAGCCAUUUUCUGAAUUCAUCUAUAGAAUUGUCUUAUUGUCUUCUUGUUUGAUAUACAAAAUAAUUUAUUACGCUUUAAGGAAAAUAAUUUAGGUAUAGUAUAUACACUGUAAUUGUGUCGACAACCCGUUAUCAUAUCUACUUGAGUGAGCAAUAAGAUCCUGAACACGACGUUCGAGCAUCCAAAUAGGACAAACUUAAUGUAGUCUCUAAUAAAGCACCUUUACACCAAAUACAUUGCCCAACUCACUGCUUUACAACGAGCAUGCAGAAUGGCAUGAUACAAACAAAGAACAAGCAUACAACCUAACAAUGUGUUAUCCUGCGCCACAUCAUAUACAGAAUGAUAUUUUCUAUUUUUCCAUUCAUAUACCAUAGUAACAGAUAAAAAAAGAGUCAAAAUACGGUGCCAAUUUACUAUUCGAGUCUGUGCACCAUGUAACUUAAUUGUUACCCUUCAAAUGACCAAUCAUCAACAUCAUGAAACCUUUCUUCUAUUUAUGAGACUCAAAUGAAGAUCCAUAAAACGGAAAACAUGGCUUUGUGGAAACAACGUUCAACUUAUUAUUGCCUAACAAAGAGGAACGAUUAAAACACUCUACUGCAUGAAGUUUUUGGCCUAGUCUGUGAAUGUAUUUCCAAAUGCAACCACUUUAAUGCUUCAGAGGAUUCAAAAAAUUCAAAGCCACUAUACAACUUCUAUAAUCUGAUGCUAUAAGUAUCAAAGGUGAAAAGUUCUAGUGCUCUCAGAUUUUUCUCUUCUUUUUUUUGAAGCAUCGGCCUAAUUAUGAAGGAAAACGGGCUGAGAAUGUUAACUUUGUGUGUGUGUGUGUUGCGGGGNGGUGUGGUGGUUAUGAAAACGGGCGUGCUUGGAAACACAUUGCCCCGCUAGUAAUACAAUACAUCGCUAUGGAUAGUAAGCCAUUGAAACAAGCAUAAUAAUUACAAAGGAAAAUUAAGAGACUGCGAAAGAGAAGAAACAUGCCAACAGCAUCAAGCGUCAACGGUCACGCCUGAGAACUGAGAAAAGAUGACCAAGUGACUUCUUCUGAUGGCCCAUGGGCACAACCUGUUCACUAAAUGUAUGUCAAAAAGAAAUUCAAGCAACUGAAGUAGCUGAAUGGAUUAUGUGACGAGGAACAUACUUCCUUGGCAAUGAUGUUAAGUAUCUCUAGAAUAUCUGAGAAAUUUGGCCUUAAAGCUGGGUCUUGCUGCCAACAUUUCUCGAGCAGAACAGCAAGCUUAGGAUGAGUGUCCUUUGGAAUAGUGGGUCUCAAACCCUGAGUAACAAAGCAGAUGAAGAUUGUCGAACUGGUUGAAGAAUCAUUAGAUAAACCCAUUUUAAAAUGUGCAUUAUAUAGAUCACGAUAACCCAAUACUUGGUUCAGAAAAAAGAAAAAGGAUAUGUACUGUUUCUUGUCGUAUAUAUAACUCAUCUACAAUCAAGUUAGUUUCUAGAAUUAACCGUUUAGCCAAGGUUUUUGUGCUGAAAUGGUUUUCAGCAAUCAUGCAUACCCUUGAAGUGGUGGCUCUCUACAUAACUGAAUAAUCAUUCAAAUGAAAUUUACCUUCCAAAAAAAGAGGAGAUUUAGUGCAACAAGUUGCCAUAAAAAUUACACGAGCGACAGAAAAAUAUGCAUGAGACCUGGAGGGAAUGAAUCUGGAGUAUAAAUCACAUGUAGAAAAUAUUAUAGCAAAAGAAACGUGAAAAAUUGGUAAAUAGUUAUUGGUAUUUAUGAGGAAUAUGAAUGUUAAUAGCACAACCACUCAAACAAGAAAGGCGAUAUACCUUUUGAACAACAGCAACUGCUGCUUGAAGUGGUGUUAGAUCUUCGUAUGGGAGCUGAUCAAUGAAAGACAAUAAAGAAAAUGAAACAUCAACUUGAUAAAUAUGGUCUGCAUAAAACAUAGGGUAAAAGAUUGAUGCAAAGAAACCGCUGAUGCUACCUUUCCUGCCAGCAAUUCCCAAAGAACAAUACCAAAACUGAAAACAUCAGCCUUGUGAUCGUAAAAUUUGUGUUCAAUUACCUAGAAAUUGGAACUUAAUGAUCAGAUCAUAACAAAUUUUCUUGAGAGAAAGAUGACAUAUAUUGCAUUAAUACCAUAAAUAGGCAAAAGGUGGAAACAAUUGAAUAACUCAACAAGCAAAAUAUAUUUGCACAGCUUACUAAGCUUUUACUUACAACCUGAUAGUCAACAAAAAUCAAUUUCCCCAGUCUGUACUGUUGUGUUAUAUCUUUAAUAGUCAGCCCGAAGCCCAAAAAACAGAAACAAAAGCAUUAGGUAGCCAUACAUAGGAUUGCCAAAACCUACUGAGAUGGUUUUGCCAUGGGAGUAACAUUAUUCAAGCGAAAGGUGCUAUUGGAGGAAAGAAAAAUUGGAAUGAAAAUUUCAUGGAAAACCUUGACUAACCAAAACUGCAUAGGACAAUACGAUCCAUAUCACUGACCCUAAAUAGUUGGGCUUAAAGGCUAAGUUAUUGUUGAUGUUCUCAUUAUUAUUGUUCUUGCUGUUGCUGUUGUAAUAAACUAACCCUUAGUACAACUGAAGAGGAAUUUGAAAAAGGUUACUAUUCAUCAACCAAAAGAAAAAAAAAUAGUUGUUCAAGAACACAACAUAUUGACAAACGUACAUCAAAUUACAUUAAAUUAUGAGAUAAGAAACACAUUUCUUUUGUCAGAGUUGUAAUUUCAAGCACUGAUUUACCAGACACUCUCAUCACUUAAAUAUUCAGUAAACUGCUAGCUUAGAACGAUAUAAUUAUCAGAAGAACCAACCUCAGGAGCCAUCCAUCGGUAUGUUCCUGUUUCUGCAGUCAUUACUCCAGACUGAGCUUUAACCCGGGCCACUCCAAAAUCUGCUACCUUGACAACCUGUGGGCAGAUGAUGUAUUAGACGACCAAACAGAUAAUAAGCAAGACAUGCACACAAGAACAACGACAGACAAGAUGAUUUAAAAAAUUUAGAUUAUUACACGAAUUGAUAUUGACAAGUGAUGCUGCGACACCAACCGCACCAAUCAAGGGGUUUAUAAGAGUUGGAAAAAGAAGGGGCAUGCGUUAAGCUAUAUAUAACCUUAACAAAAAUUAUUUGAAUUAAAAAAUUAAUUUUCUACACAAUUUAUAUAUUCGAGCAGAAGAAAACAAUAUAACAAUGGGGUAAUAUGAUAGAAAAUACAAAUGCAAUGCUAACCGCUAGCAAAGGAGACAAGCACAUAAUAACAAUAUUAUGUAAUAUGUAAAAUAAUUUAGAUUCAUUUACUUUUAAUGUGCCUCUCGCACAAAAAAAUGUGACGGCAUACUACUUAAAAUAGCAUGUGCGGAAUUAAAUACCUCAUUUUCAUCCAUAAGAAGAUUUGCUGUCUUCAGGUCCCUGUGGAUAAUAUUACAGUGGUGCAAAUAGUUCAUUCCCUUUGAUACAUCAGUAGCAAUCCUGAGCACAUCUGGGAGCUGGAAAACACCUUUCUUGUUGUGAAGAAAGUCAAAUACACUCCCUCCACGCAUGAAUUCUGACAAUGAAACAAACCUGACUCAAAUAUUCAGUCAACUAAACAAGAAGACAACAUGAAUAAUGUGUAGGAGAUUUGUUCAUUCUACAGUGCAUUCUCCACAACAACUCUAAAAGCUAAGCAUACUACCUGUAACUAUACACAAAAUAGGUGGUCUGGUGCAUGCGCCAAUAAACUGCACAACAUUCUUGUGACGAACCUUUCUGCAGAGAUUGGAUUGGAAAGAAUUGAAGAAAGUAAAGAAGAAGAUUCAGGGACAAGAGGAUGCAUACCCCUCUCUAAAUAAAAAAAAUUCUUUCGUUAAAUAUAAUAAGAAAUGAAAUGGAAGAUCAAUUUGUGAAACAAAAAAAAGAGUGAAAUGACACUAAUAGGAAUGUAGUAGAAGCAUAAGGCAUCAAAGCAACAUUUGUUUUCAAUGUCACACAUUAUUCAUGUGUUCUGGCCAAUAAUAAAAGAAUAUUUAUUUUCAUAAUGGUCUUCUCCAUAAUGGCUGUCCAAGACUCCCAAAUCCUCUUCUCACAUGCAUUGGUGUGAAAAUAUUAUGCAAUCAAUAUUCUCCUCCUAACAUGAGAAUAACAUAUUUGAAAAUUUCAGAUAAUCCAAAUGCUGGCAUUCCUGAGAAACUAAACAGAAUUAUGAUAGUUUAACUCACAGUCACAAGGGUAAAGGUAAAACACCAAAUGAGAGCAAUGCCACCUAAAGAAUACUCUUACAAGGCUUCACUUAAAAAUUUGACCAUUAAAUAACCUUGUCAAUCAAAUGCAUCAUAUAACAGCCAGCAUGCAAGGUUCCAGCAAUUAAUUGUGAAGUACCUGGAAGGCAAGGAGCUAUGCAUCCUUACACUCCCAAAUGAUGGCCACUAGGCAUCCAACGAGGUUGUCUGUCUCUUGGCAAAAAACCACCACUUCGGUGGAACUGGUAAGCCAGAACCAUCACUCAUAGUAACCGUAAGUGACUCUAAUAAACCAUUCAGUGCAUGAUUGAAGGCCUUUAAGCUACUAACUAAUGUUCUUAACAAGUCACAUAACUGGGAAACUUUUCCAUAAAGUCAAUGAGCUAAAUAGUAUUCACUUUCAAAAUCCUUAUUUUGAGGUUGCUAAACAACCAUACGUCAGUUUACUUUUCAAAUGCUUCCAACUUUCAAAUAAGCCAUUAAACAAUAACCACAGUAACCUCCACUGGACAUGAUAUACAAACAAGGGUAUCUUCACCAACUACAUGCUCCUUUCGGUCUCUAAAUUAUUCAUGUAGUUUUAUGUACUAGCUUGUCCGACGAAUGCAUAAGAAGCCAUUCGAAAGGUGCUUUGCUAGGGGGAUCUUGGGAAGCUUUGUUCUGAACAUUAAGUUGGAGCAUUUUUUUUCUUCUUCCAAAUAUACAGCAUGUAUUCAGUAGCCUAUGUCUAUGCAGUAUGCCCUACCUUGCCUCUCUGAACAAGUUAUGAGACCCAUCCAUCCUGAAGUAAUGCUAUGUAAAUUCUCUAGCUAUCAGAGGAGAUAGCUUUAUAGACCAUUUAUUGCACCUCAAUCAUCUCAAAACAUGGGGAUGCAAACACCCCUUUCCUAAACUCCCUCCAAGCAUUACAUCGCAAGGGAGUUUAUAGCUCAAAAAAUCAAUGUAAAAAUACUAAGGGAAUAAAAAACAUAUCAUCAUAUGAUACUAACAGCAAAAUCAGGAUUAUCCCCUCAUGGACGAUAGUGCAAGUUGUUCAGCUACUACUUGUCUAAGUGUUCCUUCAUAUAAAAUGAUAGGAGACAAAUCCAAUGAUCAAAACUAGGAAGUAGGAGGAAAAAAAAAUGCAACAGCCAACUAAUAAAAAUGUAUCUGUUUCAUAUGGAAUGGAAAAAAAAAAAAAAUAAACAAUAGAAAGAUUUUACUGAAACUAGGUACGGCUUUUUACAAACCUCAUAAUAUAUACUUCCUGUGCAAACUCACGCAGCCUAUCAAUGCUGACAAGCUCCGGUUUCAGAACCUUAAUGGCUACAUCUUGGCUACAGUAUGUUCCACGGUAACUGACAAGGAAACGGUAUAUGAUCCAGAUGAUUGAAAUGAAAAAUAUCACUCUAUCUAAGAGCAGUCUAUAUUGUUAACUCGUAGAACUUACAGAUUACCAUAAGAUCCAUAUGCCAGUUUACUCUCAAAUUUUAGAAGCCUGACAUCAAUUUCCCAAACAUCAGCUCCAUCUACAGGUAUCUGGACAUGAUCAGUUGGGCAUUCCUCCAUAGCUUCUACUUCCUCUUUAGGUAACUUUGACUGCGCCAACAACAAAAUUUAGUUCUGUACUAAUUUCAGGAGCAGAACGAAAGGUUAUGCCAUGCUUGAAGGAAAGGAAAAGGAGGCCAGGCAGCCAAAGUUAGAAUACAAAAAGACUAUUGACCAAGAUGAGAGGUGGUGUAUCACCAGCUCUCGAGAGAAAAAUUCGAAGGAACAAGACCUAUCCAACAAGAUAAGUAAAAGAUGGAGUAUCUGAUAAGCACGUUCAAUGGAAUUCAUUCUAAAGUUCACGACGUAAAUUACUUGGGAGAUACCUCUAUUGCUAGCUGGUUUAAUCUACCCCCACCAUAUGGACUCGAGCCAUUAAGUAUGUUAUUGAUGAAUGGAACCUUCCAGAUAAUUGCAAAAGCAUCAUUUUUGUAAGAACAAGAGGAUAACAUCGAGAGUUCUAGAGUCACAAAAAAAAAGAAAAAAAAAAAGCUCGUAGCUAUCUUUUAUCUAAUGGACUGACCUAUAUGUUGAAUUGCUUAAUCAUGUAAUCCACCAAAAUAAUCAAGAGUUAAUUAUAUCUAAUAGAGAAGAUAGUUUUGUGAGACAACAUUGAUGUUGACCAACAACAUAGAAGUGAUACAGCAGAAUAGCUGGCUUUGGUACUUGAUUGACAACAACCCCUCACAAAUAAUGAAUGAAGAUGAACAUUCCAAUGGGAACAUCCUAAUGGUUUCAACUUGGCUUUUAAAAUGACCCAAACAUAUAAUGAAAUAAAUUUGCACAUCAAUUUUCAUUAGCAUCUAGCAAAUAGAUGAUUACCUUUGUUUUGACAAUUUCUUUCUUCAGUGCACUUCUUAGAUUGCCAGUGUCCUGGAAAUUUCAGAGAAAAGUAAGCUUUUAGUUGGAAAUAGUAGAUAUAGAGAACUGUAAUCCAAAAUUGAAUUGAUGAAAAUCUUAAAAGAGAAUCAUGAUAGAAAAUAGAAGAUACAGUUCCUACAAUACUAUCUAGCAUUGGCAUCAAGAACUUCAUCUACAAAAAUGAAAGAACAAAGGGAACAAAAUUCCAAUGUUUCAUUUAUUAAUAUCAGCAGAAAUUUGCUAAUUAAUAUGUAUAGAAAGCCCAAACACAUAAUGAAGAGCCCAUUCCCAAAGCAUGCAUAAGAUCUGAAGCUUGCUUUCCGAGCAAUAAAACUUGAAGGUAACAAUUUCAUACAUAUCCCUGAAAACUAGUUAUCUGAAACUCAUCGGUCUAAACUUCAUAUUUGUGUAUUUAUCUUCACAAGUUAAAAUCAAAAGAACUCUCUUUUGACCGCUGGCAGGUAAAUCAUUCACGGUGGAUUCUUUAUUAAUGAAAGGACAGUUCUAACCUUUCAAAAUGUCGCUUAAAAAUGUUUGAUUGGGAGAUUGAACAGAGAAAAUGCAUCCAAUAUUUGGGGCCAAGGCUAAGGUAAAAUGGUUUGCAGAGAAAAAAGGAGAUGUGAUACCCUUAUUAGCCUCUUGAAUACGACAGUCAAAACAAUUUCCUCCAAGCAUUUAAAAGGCGAAGAAGUGAUUUGGAGAAAUAGGGGUCAAUUCCAGCCAAUGAACUACCAUUAGUUAAAAGAGAUGUGUAAAUCUAUAUUCAUAUUUCAAAUUUAAGUGAAUAAAGAGACUAAUCUCAUGUAACAUUUGCAGGGAUACAUUUGUGAAUGCCCCAGAAGUAUAUUAAUUGGCAAUUAUGGAGUCAAGGACUUAUGUUUGGAUAUAUUUGAUGUAUCCCUACUUAUUAGACUUUUUCCUAGUAUAAAAGAAUUGAGUUAGGAUCCAUACACAUACAAAAUACAAAUGGUAUACAAAAAAAAAAAAAACUCCUUUUCUUUAAAGUAGUCUAGUAUAUGGAAGAGAAAGAUAGCUUCUAAAAUGCAGUUUUAGAACUCACUCAGGUAAAAGAAGGAUAGUUUAAUGAAUAUCAUUCUAUAGCUCUCCCAGGUUAACCAUCCUCCUUUUGUGAAACUCCCAGGGGUUUAAUAAUCUUUCUCAGGUCUCCAAGCAAAUCAUAAUCACCUUUUGAUAGCAUAAAGUGAGAUUUAGACUACUACUAAAACACUACAUCUACUCUAAUUCUUUAACUUUCAUUUGGAACAUGUAAUAAACAAACAUUAGUACAACCAAGUGCUUAAGCUACACCUACAUAGACAGCCUUGCCCUGGUGCAAAAGAAAACUAACCCCACACGAAUAAGAGAACAUUCAUGAUACAAUUCUCUGGCUAACGAAGAUGCAGAAUUACCUCCGAUAGCCAGCCAUCAACCACAAAAAUAUCUAACGAGUAACCGUCAUUAGUGGAAAACGCAUGUGCUUCUCGAAUGCUGAGACCAACUUCAGCAAGCAAGGAAGUUAACUAGGAAGAGAAAAAUAAUACCAAAAUUAAUAUCACGAGAAUAUGUGAAAUAUACUUGUUCAAUGAGCCAUAUUAUGAUUUCAAUUUUGAAAAAAGAGAUCAAUCACCUGACUAAGAAGCUUUGGCUUAUCAUCUGUUGAAAAAGUGAUCUCGUGUAUAGGCCUACAAGAACAUCAAAUAUCAGAAAUUAGGAGCGUGGACAAGUAUACUAAGGAAAAAAAAGAAAAGAGAAACACUCCAUAAGUUGAUAUAUGCUUAAAUACAUAAUAAAUAAAUUAAUAUCUAAAUGGAACUUAAUUCAUGCUUUAUGUAGUUCAAUACAAAUUUUAUGGUAAAGUGUAAUCAGAAACAACUCUAACCAAUCCUCAAAUACUAAUUCUCAAGUUGAUCUUCCUCCAAUUUCCAAAUCAUUAUUCUAUGACUCCAAUUCAUGAAUUCCUAGAUUUCUUCUCCAUUUCUUUGAUAAAUCCGUGGUCCUGAGCUUACCAAGAAUUUCCCACAUCAUCUAUUAAGUCUAAACUAGCAUCCCACGCUCAACAAUUAAAAUAAUAAACUAAAGAAGCAUAUUACAAACCAUUCUUUUGGUGGAGCCCUCAUAGGGACCAAUACUGCACAUUAUGUUGAACGAGUUGCUUACAAGAAUUAUCUUAUCAGGUUGCAGAAUACAACUCCUAGAAGUCACUAUCAUAACAAAAUAGACAAGAAUUAUCCAGCCUCUCGGACGAUAUAGAAAGAAAGCAUUAAUAUAUUACGGACAAAGCAUUUAUAUUACAAAGCUGUAAAUGGCCGUUUCAGUGACAGAUGGGCUGCUAGAGUUUCUUCAGCAGUUUUGGCGACAUCAGAAGAUUCAAGCGGCCUAAUAAGUCUCAAACUCACAUGUACCACAAAUAGGGAAAAUGAAGAAUAAUCUUAAAACAUGAAUAUAACAAUGUUUCAAAUUUUCAAUGCAUAACUGUGAUUCUGAAGCCUUUUUUUUUUUGUUGUUUCAGCAGCUUCUACCUGAAAGCCAAUUACAUGAAAUGCAAUUUAGCAAAUUAUAAAGUAUAUCAAACAAUGUACUUGUCUUGCUUGUGGCUAAGAAUUCAGUACAUAAAGAAAAGUGGAAUGUCUAGACAUCCAAUGAAAUUACCUCCAAGUUUUAGAGGCACAAAUUAUAAAGUAGGAUAAACACCGCAUCCUUCCACCACUAAAUUCAUCCAGACCAAACGCUACAUGGUUCACGCAAACACUAGCCAUGUAAUAAUAGUUGUUAAUUAUGCAGAUGAAAUUUCAACUAAGCAAAAGAUUUUCGGAAGCCAAGAAACACAGACUAGUAGAGCUAAAAUCUGAUAGUAAAAUAAAACAAGCAAAUAGAACUCUAAGGUGGAUUUCUCUAAUCUCAAAGGCAAAAAAUGAUUUAAUUAUCUAAAUAAUGUGAAUUAUUUAGCAUGAAAGUAUUAGUUGAAAAAAUGACCUGAAAGAGUGCCGGUAAGAAUGAACAGCUCUAUCUCCAUCUUGAACCUGUUGGCUAUCAACGUCAAGAGCCAAAGCUUUAUGAUCCGAUGAUAGAGCGAAGGCCGGAUAGAAAUAAAUGCUGAAGAAUGGAUCAAAUAAGAGAAGAGAAGACAUGAAAUCAAGAUAAAACUACGUAAUUGAAUGUGCAAAGCAGAAAAUGAGAAACAUUAUUUUCAAAAGGAAACCACAAUAAGAAGAGCCAUAAGCACCUUUGUUCAUUGCCCGCAUAUGGAAAAUGUUUCACAUUUUGCUCCUCCUGCCUAUUAGAAUGAGAAGUCUCAUGUUUGACCAUACUGUGAAUAUUCAUUACCUGAAAAGAAACUCUUUCUGAUAUAAAUAGCAAAUUCAAAGAUAUUAAACUAGAAUUUGGCACUGUUAUAAGAACUAAAAAGAAGUAUGCAUGUGAUGGCUUUCUUCAAGAUUCACAAAAUCCAUUUGACCUAAUGGCCUAAUAAAAUUAGACUGUUUACCUCCUAAGAUCUUGAUUGAUUCAAAAGGCACCAAAUCUUGGUUUCAAUUCCGAAAUUUCAUGGAAGCAAUUGGGGAGCAUAAACUACAACUUAUUACGAAAUUUACUUUCAUAAGUACACCAAGCAAACUUAUACAAAUAGGCAAUAACAAUAACCGCAGUUAAUUUAAAUACUUAAACAAUAAAAUUGAGAAAUAAAGAAUGCAUCAUAAAUCACAUCCAAUUAUGACAAGCUUCACACUUUUCGAUUAGACAUUACUACAUUAUGCUGAAAAUUCAUCUCCACGUGUCUUACCUUCCUAAAAGUAAUCUAAAGAGUUUACAUGCACAUACCAUACUCAGAUUUAGGAAAAACAUAGAGAAUCACCAAGCAACCAGAAAAUAAAUGUAACCAAAGAUUAGACGCGGCAAUAAGAGGAUAAGACCUUCACCAUUAACGAGAAGUUUAAAUGUUUUACUUUCAAUAGACUGAAGAGAUCAUAACUCAAAAGAAGCUUAUAUUUUCUCUGGUUUUAUCAGACCCAAAACAGUAAUAACUCAUAGGCCAACUGUGAACAACCACAUGUUUGUUGUAAACCUUUCGGCAGCUUUCUAAACUUGAAAACAAGUUCAAGAAAAAUCAUUUGCUGUGUUGGUUUUCUACAAAGGAGGCAUGUGAUCAUGUUUCACUUUUCAUGAUUGUCUUCCAAAGAAUUUUGAGAGUCCUUUCGUGGACAGCAAGGCAUUAUGGUCGGAAGUAAAUUAGAAUAUUAUCAGACAAAAUAAGAAGUCGUAUAGACCCCUCAGACAAGAAAAGCAUAAAUUCCCAUAGUAAGCCAAUUAACUACAGUAAAGAAGAUGGAAGGAUCUUAGAAAUUAGCACUGGUAUAGUCAUAUGCUCAUACCUGGACAAGACGAACCUCAAAAGCGGGCCUGUUGGCAGGAUCGCACGCCUGCUGCAGCAACCUCUUGUGCAUCAAGACAUCUUCUGCUCUCUCUACAUUUACAUCCAAUGCAUAUCUAACCAAGAAUCACAAACAAGAUAUUCAUCAAGGAACCCAGUAAGACAAUCAUAUCAUUGUAUCGUCACAGAUCUACAUAUAACCCAGGCCACAAGCCAGAAGGAAAAAAAAUUAAAAUAUAGCAAUAAGAUAGACAACACUUCAAGAAAGUCGCUCGCUCCACGAAUAGAAGUUACCCAGUUCUGUUAAUUGAACACUUUACCACACAUAGCUACAAGCUAGAUAGAGACAUAAAGUGGCAAACAGUAACUUCAAGAAAAAUCACCGAAUGGCUUGAUCCAUAGGCUAACAUUAGGCAGGUUAUGAACCGAUAAAAAAAAGGAAUCCUAAACCAACAGAUUCAAGAAAGCCUUUAUUGAAUAAGAAAUCUAGCAGAGGAAGUUAUUCGCGAUCGCGGAUGAUAUUCACACCGAAAAAGGAAACGGAAAACAACGAACAACACAUUAGAGGAAGAGAUUAUCGCCUCGUGAUCAAGCCCACGGUCUAAAAUCUCGGUGACUUCGAGCCGUUCCCUACCACUGAUCAAACUAAGAAGAGACGACAAGAAGAUGACGAACGUUUCGAAACCGAAAACAAGAACUAUCAUGCAAGAACUAACGAAUAAAAAAAGGAGAUCGAGACCUGGGAGGGAGGCGGUCGAAGUGCGCCAAGAGCUCGCCGUCGAAGGCCGGCGAAAGCGCUUCGGGACACCCGGAGCUCUUGAGGCGGCGGAGCACCUCGUUGUAGACCUCCACCUUCCGCCGCCGCCCGCGGUGGCGCGACGGCGAUCCCUCCCGGGCGCCGGAGCUCCCCGCGCCCUCCGUCGCCAUCCAAGGACCUCCGAUCAAACCCUAAUCCAAUGCGAAAGCAAAAAAAAACCGAAAUGAACGAAGAGGAGAACGAGAAUAAGCCGCUCCACCGCCCUCUCGGAUCCUUCACGAGCUCUACCUCGCCUUCUCGAUCUCCUCGUCCUCGCGAUCGAGGCGUGAUUGGACAGGCUAGGGUUUCGAGCUCCGCGUGGAGAGAGGAGCGGGGGAGACGAGAGAGAUAGGGAAGAGGAGUUUGGUAGGAACGCGAAGAAGAAAACGAAGAGACGAGAAGGAGAAGAAGAGAGAUACGAGCCCGGGGAGAGAGGAAACAAAAAAGAGGUGGGCCGGAGGAUGAGACGAGGAGAAGGGAAGCAGCGAGCCAACUUGGUUUUACGAAGUGUUGUCCGUUACUUUAUUAUUUAUAGGAAUGGAGGAGCAAUGGUGCCUUAGAGGUGAAUAUGAUAUUAGAAAUUAUUAAAGAGUUAAUGUAUGUAAUAAUAAUAAUAAUAUUAUUAUUAUAUUAUUAUAUCAUUAUUUAUGGGUUCAGCAUAUAUGGUUAAAUGAAUCUGGACAUUCCAGCUGUUUACGUGCGGUGAGAUUAGUAAUCAAGUUCAAAAUUUGAGGGAAUUGAACAAAUUUAACGCCGAUAAGUUUAUAAAUCUCACUAAUUAUAUGUAAAGAUAAAUGUAAAUUGGCAAUUUUAGCUUCGUCCCCCGACUAGUACUAUAGUUCAUCUAGUUGUGGUUCGUGGUUGAAAAACGAACAACAGUUUGUAACAAAUGGAAUGGAGGCUCCAUUUCAAAAUAGCCAGUUGUCGAGGGGUUAUCCACUUGUUUUUAUUUCAGAUCCUAUCUAAAACUUCCAACCAAUAGAUCUGCCGCCCAGCAGAAAGACAUAACCCGUUAACAAACCUAUACUUUUGUCCAAAUCACCAGUAUAGUCGGAAUCUACAAAUUCCUUCACUUUACCAUAACCGAAAUUUUUUGAGUAGAGGAUACAUUUAUUUGAUAUCUCUUUCAAAUACCGCAAAAUUCACUUCACGACCUCCAAGUGCUAUUUUUUUGGAUUCGAUAUAUAUUGACUAAUAACAGUAACUGCAUGUAAAAAAUCAGACCUAAUACAAAGUAUAGCAUAUAUCAGGCAACCGACUGCGCUAGCGAAUAAAUGUAUAAAUAUCUCAUUCAGUAUAUUUUCUAAUUCAUUUGAGAAACGAAGUAGUUCGGUAGCUACUUCGUUUUCUAUAACUAUAAACUAUAAACCCAUCCCCGUGGGAAUAUUUUUUUUCCGACUCAACCACGGUUUAUUACUUCACCCGUGUUGCCUAGUUCAUAUUUUCACUGAAUGAAGCAGAUAGCAUGCUACCUUUUUCCGUAAAAAAAAAAAAAAUUCAAUGAGCAAAAAUUAAAUUCUUGAUUAUAACCAGAGAAGAAAUUUUUUUAUUAUUAUAUAAAUUAUUUUUGGAUAGCUUAUUCCAACGUUCAAAUAGAGCUUGAGAUUUCAUGGGUUAUUUGGAUGUCAGAAUAAGUUAUCUUAAUAUGAACAAAAAUUUUUUUAGUAUGAUAGUAAGUAAAAAGUUUAAUUCUCUCCAUCUUUAAAGAUCUUGCUAUUCAUAAUUUUGUAGAAUAGUUUAUUUCACCUACAAUGUAAUUUAUUUCAUUCGGAAAAAAAUAACUUGAAGUCUAAAUAUGAUAUUUCAUUUUAAAUAUUUAAUUCACUCUUUAUCAACCAAAUGUACAAAAUUUUUAAAUAAAUUAAGAAAAUAUAUCUAACAAGGUAUUACUAUAUCCAAACUGGGUCUAUUUGUUUUUAUUUAUUUAUGCCUUUACACAUUUUUUUGGAUGCCUGAAUAAAAUACCCAAUCAUUUCUUAUUUGAUUUGAAGAUUUUUUGUGUGAUUGGAAGUUAAAAGUUUAAAUUUUCUGUUAAGAAGGUCUUGACAUUUAUAAUUUAAUAGGGUAGCAUAUUUUGUAUACAAAAUAAUUUAUCUUAUUAUAAAAAAUUAAUUUUAAGGUUAAAUAUGAUAUCCAUUUUAGGCAUUUAAUCAUACUCCUUAUUAACUAAAUACUAUAUAUUUUUAAAAUAAAUUUAAAAUUAUAUAUAAGAUAAGAUGUUAUGUAUCUAAACAAAGGCCUUUGUUUUUUGAUUCAUAAUUUUCAUGAAACAAAAAAAAUCUUCUAUGCUGCUCUAUCAAGUAUUGAUGCCAUAUGCUUUUCUUAUAUUUUUUAAAAAAAGAUAAUCAGGCAUGCGCGAAAAUACAAGAACAUAAUUAAAUAUAUAACAAAUUUCAACAUAUAUUUGGUAAUGUUUUUUGUGGGGAAUGUUUGAGAGAUAGUGGGGAGUUAGACCUAGUUUGAUAACGUGAUAGAUAAAAAUAUAUCUAUUUUAUAUUCUAAAAGGUUCAAGAUUCUAAAUUAUUUUAAAUUAUUUUUUUUGAUGUUAUAAAAUUGCAAUAACAACAACCACCGAAAAGGCAUAAAAUGUUGAAAGGUUAAAAGUGCUUUAAAAUUUUUGGACUAUCUAAAAUACAAAAUAAGUAUUUUUAGCCACUACAUUAUAGGUCUUAAAAUACAAACACUUAAUUACCAAAUAUAUAGUUUGGGGAAGAAGAGGCAAUAUAGUACUUCAUUAGGCUUUAAGAAUCUGGAAUGUCCUAGUUUCUUAUCAGAGGGACUGUUUGGAUGUACAGUAAAAAAUCUCUACGAAGUUUAUAGAAAUUUAUAAACCACUGUGGUUUUGGUCUAAAUGAAAUAGGGAAUUCUGUAACUCUAAAAAAUUCCACGGAUUCAAUUUUCAAACUGUUUGGACGCGCAUUAUGUAAUUUCACAGGAUUUCUUUAAAUUUUAAAAAUAAAAGUUAAAAUUUAAAAUUUAAAAUUUCAAUAAAAAUUUAAAAUUUAAAAUUUGAUAUGUGAAAUUUUAAAUUUUAAAUUUUAAAUUUUAAAUUUUAAAAUUUAAAAUUUUAAAAUAAAAAAUUUAAAAUUUAAAAUUUAAAAUAUAAAAAUCUAAAUUUAAUUUUUAAAUUUUAAAAUUUAAAAUUUUAAAAUAUAAAAUUUAAAAUUUAAAAUUUAAAAUUUAAAAUUUGAAAUUUAAAAUUUAAAAUUUAAAAUUUAGAAUUUAAAAUUUAAAAUUUAAAAUUUAAAAACUAAAUUUGAAAUUUGAAAUUUGAACUAUGAGAUUUGAGAUUUGAAAUUUAAAAUUUGAAAUUUAAAAUUUAAAAUAAAAUUUUAAAUUUUACAUUUUAAAUUUAAAAGUUAAAUUUGAAAAUUGAAAAUUGAGAAUUAAAAUUUGAAAUUAUAAAUUAUAAAAUUUAAAAUUGAAAUUUAUUGUUUGAAAACUAAAAUUUAAAAUUUGAAUUUAUAAAAUUAGAAAAUUUGAAAUUUAAAAUUUGACAUUUAGAUUUUGAAAUUAUAAAAUUUAAAUUUUUGAUAUUUAAAACUUAAAAUUCUAAUUUUAAAAUUAAAAAUUAAAAAUUUGAAUAUAAAUUAAAUUAUAAAAUUAAAAAUUUAAAAUCUAUGUUGAAAUUUAAAAGUUAAAACUUGAAGCAUUUUUGGAAUAAUGGAGCCCAAGAAUGGCGGAAUUCUUUUUCUUUAGUUAGAGUGGAUUAUAAUUUUACUUCAUUUUAUGGAGUAUAGUUUAACUAUAUUUCAAAAAUUAUGUUACUUUUUUUUUUUCUCCCAAACGCUUUAUAGGAUAAUUUUCCUACCAGUAUAGCAUAAUUUAACUAUACAAUAUUUUCAAA